RNAcentral lists this long non-coding RNA (68680 nucleotides) under Citrus sinensis (sweet orange). RNAcentral's name for it is "long non-coding RNA (CSIN_LNC001779)". Lineage: Eukaryota; Viridiplantae; Streptophyta; Magnoliopsida; Sapindales; Rutaceae. The record is from RNAcentral.
AAUCACAAUCUUCUGAUCAUUGUAUCGAUAAGGAAUCGCCUCGAUCCAUUUUGAAUCAUAAUUAACAGCAACUAAAAUGUAUAAAAAUUCAAAUGAUGAUGGAAAAUGACCCAUAAAAUUAAUUCUCCAACAAUCAAAUAUUUCAGUGACAAGAAUGGGGUUUAAAGGCAUCAUGUUUCGCUUUGAAAUAGACCCUACCAUUUGACAAUUCUUACACAUUUUACAGAAUGCAUGUGAAUCUUUAAAUAAUAUAGGCCAAUAAAAUUCACACUGUAAUAUUUUUGCAGCUGUCUUUUUUUAAGAAAAAUGGCCACCGCAUGCUUCAGAAUGAAAAAAUUGAAUGACCAUACUUACCUCGUCGUCUGGUAUGCAUCUUUGAAAAAUUCGAUCUAAGCAGUAUUUAAACAGGUAUGGAUUAUCCCAGUAAAAUCUUCUCACUUCUGUUAAGAAUUUCUUUUUGUCCUGGGAACUCCAGUCACAUGGCAUUUCACCUGUUGCAAGAUAAUUAACAAUAUUAGCAUAUCAAGGCAUUUUGUUUAUAGAAAAUAAAAAUUCAUCAGGGAAAAAAUCAUUGAUGGGUGUUGUUUCAAUUGAAGACUCAUUAGUAAGUCUUGAAAGAUGAUCUGCAACAACAUUUUCAGUGCCUUUUUUGUCCUUGAUUGUCAAGUUAAAUUCUUGAAGUAGCAAAAUCCAUCGUAUCAACCUUGGUUUGGCAUCCUGUUUUGACAUUAAAUAUCUCACAGAAGCAUGAUCAGAAUAAACAAUAGUGGAUGAACCAAUUAAAUAUGAAUGAAAUUUAUCCAAUGCAAAUAUUACAGCUAGUAGUUCUUUCUCAGUUGUAGUGUAAUUCAUUUGAGCAUUCUUCAAAGUUCUACUUGCAUUAUAGAUGACAAAAGGCUUACCUUCCUUUCUUUGACUCAGAACAGCGCCAACGACAUAAUCACUAACAUCACACAUUAGCUCAAAUGGUAAAGACCAAUCAUUAUUGGGGCUGAUGUCAAAAGAGUAGUUAUUUUUUCAAAAGCUUGUUGACAAUCUUUAGGCAUCAUGUUUCGCUUUGAAAUAGACCCUACCAUUUGACAAUUCUUACACAUUUUACAGAAUGCAUGUGAAUCUUUAAAUAAUAUAGGCCAAUAAAAUUCACACUGUAAUAUUUUUGCAGCUGUCUUUUUUUAAGAAAAAUGGCCACCGCAUGCUUCAGAAUGAAAAAAUUGAAUGACCAUACUUACCUCGUCGUCUGGUAUGCAUCUUUGAAAAAUUCGAUCUAAGCAGUAUUUAAACAGGUAUGGAUUAUCCCAGUAAAAUCUUCUCACUUCUGUUAAGAAUUUCUUUUUGUCCUGGGAACUCCAGUCACAUGGCAUUUCACCUGUUGCAAGAUAAUUAACAAUAUUAGCAUAUCAAGGCAUUUUGUUUAUAGAAAAUAAAAAUUCAUCAGGGAAAAAAUCAUUGAUGGGUGUUGUUUCAAUUGAAGACUCAUUAGUAAGUCUUGAAAGAUGAUCUGCAACAACAUUUUCAGUGCCUUUUUUGUCCUUGAUUGUCAAGUUAAAUUCUUGAAGUAGCAAAAUCCAUCGUAUCAACCUUGGUUUGGCAUCCUGUUUUGACAUUAAAUAUCUCACAGAAGCAUGAUCAGAAUAAACAAUAGUGGAUGAACCAAUUAAAUAUGAAUGAAAUUUAUCCAAUGCAAAUAUUACAGCUAGUAGUUCUUUCUCAGUUGUAGUGUAAUUCAUGAACAGCGCCAACAACAUAAUCACUAGCAUCACACAUUAGCUCAAAAGGUAAAAACCAAUUAGGGGGUUGCAUUAUUAGGGCUGAUGUCAAAAGACUAGUUAUCUUUUCAAAAGCUUGUUGACAAUCUUUAGUCCAUUCAAAUUGUGUGUCUUUUAUUAGGAGAUUGCAAAUUGGUCUAGAUAAGGCACUAAAGUCUUUUAUAAACCUCCUAUAAAAUCUUACAUGUCCUAAAAAAGAACGGACUUCUCUAAUUGUCUUUGGUGAGGGUAAUUUUGAAAUGACUUCAACUUUGGCUUUAUCAACUUCGAUUCCUUUUUACGACACGACAUGGCACAAGACAAUUCCAGAAGUGGUCAUCAAAUGACAUUUUUCCCAAUUUAAAACUAGUCCUUUUUCUUUGCACUUUUCCAGAACUUUUUCUAAAUUAUCAAGACAUGUAUCAAAAGAAUUACCAAAUACAGUUAAAUCAUCCAUAAAAACUUGUAGACAAUUUUCAACCAUGUCACUACAAAUGCUUAGCAUACACCUUUGAAAUGUUGCAGGAGCAUUACAAAGUCCAAAGGGCAUUCUUCUAAAUGCAAAUGUUCCAAAUAGGCAUGUGAAUAUGGUGUUUUCUUGGUCUUCUAAGGUUAUAGGAAUUUGAUAAUAGCAAGAGUAGCCAUCAAGAAAGCAGUGGUAAGGAUAUCCAGCUACUCUUUCAAGAAUUUGGUCUAGAAAUGAAAAGGAAAAAUGAUCUUUUCUAGUGGUAUCAUUUAAUUUUCUGUAAUCAAUGCACAUGCGCCAACUAGAUGGAAUUCGUGUUGGGAUUGGUUCACCUUUUUUUAUUUUUUACAACAGUUAUUCCAUAUUUCUUUGGUACUAUUUGUGUUGGACUUACUCAUUUACUAUCAGAGAUAGGAUAGAUAAUUCCUACAUCUAGUAGUUGAAGGACCUCAUUCUUUACCACUUCUUUCAUAUGAGGGUUUAAUCUUCUUUGUGAUUGACGGGUUGUUUUGGCAUUUUCCUCUAAGUGUAUUCGGUGUGUGCAAAUUAAAAGAUUAAUGCCUUUUAUGUCUUUUAAGGUCUCACAAAUGCAGUUUUAUACCUUUUUAGUACAGAUAGUAACUUACCUUCUUGAUCAUGCAUGAGCUGGGAAGAAAUUACCACCGGAUAUGUCUGUUGUUCUCCAAGAUAGACAUACUUCAAUUCUUCUAGUAAGGGCUUUAAUUCGAGCUCUGGUGUUUCUUUUUUGUUUGGUUCUUCAGGUUGUACCGUAUCUUCAAAGUUCGAUUGGUCAUCGUCACCUAUUGGUACCUGUAUAAAAUCAAGUGUAGAGCAUAUGUUAGCAAGCUGCACUUAUUGAAUCCAUGAGAUCUUAUGAACUCAUCAAAUCUGAUGUACCACUGCCUGGGUGAUUGUUUUAAACCAUAUAGUGAUUUUUUCAGCAAACACACAUUGUUUGGCUUCAUUUGGUCUGUAUACCCUUCUAGUUGUGUCAUGAAGAUUUCUUCUUAUAGGUUUCCAUACAGGAAGGCUGUUUUGACAUCGAGUUGAUCAAGCUCCAUGUCAUAGACUGCUGUUAGAGCCAAUAAGACCUUUAUUGAUGCAUGUCUAACCACAUGUGAGAAUACUUUUUUGAAAUCAAUGCCCUCCUUCUGUGUGUAUCCUUUAGCUACCAACCUAGCCUUAAACCUCCUAGGUUCUGUAGCUGACACCCCAUCUAUGAUUCUGUAUAUCCAUUUGCAUCCCACUAGCCUUCUGUUAUCAGGCUUUCUCACCAGCUUCCAUGUAUUGUUUUUGUAGAAAGAUGUUAUUUCAUCAUCCAUGGCUUUCUGCCAUUCAGCCUUGUUUAUAUUGUUAAAUGCUUCUUUAUAACUCUUAGGUUCUGUUUCAUCAAUUUUAUGUGAGGUAGCAAGUGCAUAAGCUAUUAGAUCUGCAUAGCAUAUCUCUUUGGAGGUCUUAUGGUUCUUCUUUCUCUUUCUUUUGCCAACUGGUACUCUUCAAACUCAAUUUGACUCUGAUGAUAUUGAUGUUUUGUACUGUGAUCUUCUUUAUCAGAACUUUCUUCACCUGAAUCUGCAGCUUCAUUUGAAGAUUUCUGAAAUGAGUGCUCCACCUCAAACUGGAUACUGUCAGUACCUUUGUCUUAAGAUUCAGCAACCUCAGCUGGAUUACUUGCAGACAACGCAGCUUCCUCAUUGAACACCACAUCCCUGCUUGUUAUGCAUCUAGGUGGGGUUAGUUCUGAACACCAUAGCUUGUAACCCUUCACUCUAUCUGGAUAACCUAUAAACUAUCCCUUUAAGGCUCUGUGUGCUAAUUUUUCCUAGUUUGUAUGUGCAUAUGUUGUGCACCCAAAUACUUUGAGGUUGCUAUAGUUUGCAGGUUUACCAGACCAUUGUUUAUAAGGAGUCUUAAACUCAAUGGUUGCUGAAGGACUUAGAUUGACCAGUAAACAAGCUAUUAACAAGGUUUCUGCCCAGAGCCCUUUGGCAGCUUAGACUAAAUCAUCAUGCACCUAACUUUAUUCAUUAAAUUCAUGUUCAUCCUUUCAGCAAGUCUAUUUUGCUGAGGAGUCAUUCUCACUGUUCUAUGUCUAGCAAUUCCCUCACUAGCACAAAAGUCAUCAAACAUCUUAUUACAAUAUUCAAGUCCAUUGUCUGUUCUUAACUUCUUAACUUUCUUCCCUGUUUGGUUUUCAACUAAGGCUUUCCAAUCCUUAAACUUGCCAAACACUUGAUCCUUGGUUCUGAGAAUAUACACCCAAACUCUCCUCGAAAACUCAUCAAUUACAGACAUGAAGAACAUAUUCCCCCCCAAUGAUAGAACCUGAGAUGGCCCCCACAAAUCUGAGUGAAUGUAUUCCAGAAUGUCUCUAGUCUUAUGCUGAGAUUUCUUGAAACUAGCUCUUGUAGACUUCCCUAGGACACAAUCUUCACAAACGACUAAUUCCCCAAUCUUGCCAUUCUCUAGAACACCCUGUUUUACUAAUUCUUUUAGACCCUUAAUGCUCAUGUGCCCAAGUCUUAGAUGCCAUAACUUGGUUGCAUCCAUGUUAACCUUAGUGGAUACACUGGACUCUCCAGUUACCAUUUCACCAUCCGAAAUGUAUACACCAUUCUUCAUAUUCCCCUUCAUAACCAGUGUUGCCCCAUUGAGAUUUUUAUUUCACCAUGUUCAAGCAUAACACUAUAACCAGCUUGGUCAAGCAUCCCUAAAGAGAUUAAGUUUCUUUUUAGAUCUGGUACAUGUCUCACUUGCUUGACUUCUCUAAUGGUUCUAUUAUAUAGUUUAAGGCUUACAUUUCCUAUCCCAAUGACUUUACACACUGCAUUAUUCCCUAUCAUAACAUUUCCCCCAUCAAAUGUAUGAUAUUCAGAAAAGUAAUUUUGACAAUGACUCAUAUAAAAGGUGCAUCUAGAGUCAAGGAUCCACUUACUCUUCUGCACUUCUUCUGUUGCCACACAUACAUCAACUGACGCAUAUCCAUCUUCUUCAACAAUAGCUGCAUCACCAUUCUGUCCAUUUUUCUUGAAAUUCUUCUCUGGGCAAUCUUUCUUGAAAUGUACCUCUUUAUGACAUUGGAAAUACUUCAUAUUCUUGUUUUUGUUCUUUGUCUUCCCUUGUUUCUUUUUCUUUCCAUCAUUCUUGUCAAUCUUUCCUUUCACAGUCAGCCCUUCUGCAUGAACUCUAUUUACUUGUUUAUCUUGUAACCCUCUUGUAUUUAAAGCAGCUUUAACCUCAUCCAGGGAUAGAGAUUGUCUGCCAUACACAAGAGCAUCAACACAGUUUGAGUAUGAAGGAGGUAAAGAGCUUAUCAAGAGUAGAGCUUUGCCUUCAUCAUUCAGCCCUUCAUCAAUAGUUUCCAAGGUAUCACAAACCUUGUUGAACUCAUCAAUGUGCUCAUCAAGAGAGGAUCCCUCGGCCAUUUUGAGUGUAAACAUCAUCUUCUUGAUGUAUAAUCUGUUAGCCAAUGAUUUAGUCAUGUAUAAACUCUCAAGUUUUGCCCAUAACUCAGCCAUUGUUUUCUCCUUAGCCACUUUUCUGAUAACUAAGUCAUUGAGACUCAAGAUUAUCGUGCUUUUGGCCAUUUCUCUGAUAAUUUCAGCAGCUUGCUCAGGAGCACUUGAUGAAGACACCUUGUUUCCUUCUUUUUUGGUUGCUGGUUCAAUGGCAUCACUCAACCCCUGUGUAAUUAACAGUGCUUCUAUUUUCACUUUCCACAUGUUGAAAUCAUUCUUUCUGUUAAACUUUUCUAGAUCAAUUCUCGGAGCAGUCAUACUUGGAUCUGAUCUUUUAACCUAGCUCUGAUACCAAUUGAAAAUUCUGAUAAGUAAAUAACAGCAAGCUUUACAAAACACUCCCCAAGAUCUUAGAUUAGACUCAACAAGAUGCCUCACCAAACAAUCGUAAAAGCUUAACAAUUAAUGUACAAUUGACUAAGACGAUGAUUGUGUUUAUAAACAAACAAAUAAUUUAAUUGAAUGCAAGAAAUCACAGAACACAACUAGCUAACGUGGUUCAGUCAAUUUGCAUUGACUUACAUCCAUGGGGGAACAAACUCAUCAGCUUUAUUGAAUUUGAUCAAGUCUUGUUUACAGAGAUUACCAAGCACUCAAUAAGAACAAGAAAACUUCUAACUCUCAAACUUUCUUUUGCUCUCUACAAUGCUCUCAGUCUCUUGUCAACUCUCUGUUAUUUCAAGCUGUGUAUAACAGCUUAUAAACGACCUCAGAGGCAUUUCCAGAAACGCUCGUGAUGAUCAAGUGCAAUAACGACUUUUUAACAACCUUCUUGUUUGCACGUGUUCUGCUUGUGCUUCAUUAACUCCAAAACGGCAAGACUGUAUGUCGUUCUAACAAGCAAUAGAUUUACUUAUUUAAACGCAGUCUUCAUACGUCGUUUUGCUUCAGUUGUUGAGCAUCACAAAACGUAUAUCAGUACUGCCGUUUCAUCCUCUUUGAUUUGAUUCACUGAAUACACAACAAAAGUGUUUGGAAGAUUGCAGUACUCCUAUUAAAAAUUUCCUCUUAAAAAUAAAUGAUCGCAAACUUUAUCAUGCUUAAAAUCAUUUUUCAUCCACAGCAAAGAUAAGUCACUCUUAUGAUUUCAUUAUUAACCAAAAAAUCCACUAUUACAAGAACUUUACAACCACGGCAAUAAGUGAAAAUUAAUUCCAACAUAGAAGAGACUGGUAAAUCAUAUAACAUCAGACAUUAGUCACCAAACAUCAAAGAGAGUAAACAAUAGUAUAUAAACCAAAAUAACCGAUUAAUACUUACUUGGAUGUUAGUCGCUCUGCCAGGAAGAGUUCUCGCUGCAGCACCAAAAUCAAGCAUAUAUAAUGCUUCCAGUUCUAGAUAUUCUAAUCUAACAGCUGACUUCCUACAUCAACACAGACACUGACAAUUAUUAGAAGACCUACAAGGGGCAUCGGAAGCACACGUGAAAGCAUGUAGAAGCCUUUGAAACUGUGUUGUGUUUGAAGCAUCUUGGAUGACCUGGCUAAUAUCUAUUAUAUAGAAUAUAAUAUGUGAAAGAAUGAAUGAAAUGCCUUAAAAGCAUGUCUUUUUUAUAGCCUUCAUGAUCAAGCUCUAAUUCGCUACAUCAAUUUAAGCAGAGAAAUCAAUAAAGUGGAACUAAAUAACUUUCCCAGAAAUCAGAGAGGGAGAGAGACGGAUCAUAGAAGAAAAAUACGAGUAACUUGAAGUAAGUUGGUGGCCUCAUAAUCAAGAGCUGCAUGGUACCAAUUCUCAGCCUGGUAAUCAAGACAGUUCAAUUGCAUCCUAGAAUGUUGAAACGUCAUGAGCAUGAACCUUUGAGCUUCUUCGUAUCUCCAUAAUUUUUUUUUUUUUUGUCAAGACUUUCCCUGCUAGCUAUCAUCUCAUAAAGGACACAAUUGUAGAGUUCAAGAUCCUUCUGGAUGGUUUCACACAGAGAAAUAUUUAUUCUCCAAGGUACUCAUAAUUUGAUGAAUAGUUGAUUAAUCAAUCUUAUACGUAAAAUUAAGAGCUAAAAUGUAACACCCAAAUUUAACACAUGCGGAGCACGUGAAGAAGGAGGUUACUCACAAAUCAUAAUCUUUACUCAUAAGUUUCACACUGAAAUACCUCGAAUUCUCAUUCAAAUAAAUCCAUAAAUUCAAACGUUUAAUACUAAAUAAUCUCUCCUGAAGACAUAAAAAUAAUAACAAAAGCCUCAAACUCCAAAUUACACGUUCAUAUCAGAAAUAACUAAAUAGAAACAUAAGUCUAUUCCUCCUCUUAUUCAAAUGGCAAACGGAAACGAAAAUUACUAACUCUAAAGCUAAGCGCACCUCUCAAAAGAAACUUAAUCUGCAAAAAGUAAUGACGAGGGGUGAGCCGUCAACUCAGUAAGUAAAACCAUUCCUAACACACUAGGCCUAUCGAUACCAAAAAUAUUGCAAGCCUUCUUUUAAUUAAAAUAUACAUCAUAAUCCAUAAAUUUCAUAAAAUGAUAUAUCACGAUAAAAUAACAUAAAUUCAUUGUAGUUCAGAAUAUCAAAAGCAUAGUUACUUAUGAAAGCAAAUCAUAUAUCACAUUUACAAAAAACAAAAGGUUAGCUCAUGUCACAUAGUGUCACCUAUAGUCCUGGUGACCCGGCCAGAAACAUAAUCAGAAUAUCGUGUGCACACUCAGAACAGAAACCCAGUACUGGUCUAAAACAGACAUAUAUCGUAUUAUACGAUCAAAAUCAGAAUCAGAAUAACUACGGACAAUGAGCCAAAAUAUAAUGACUUAUAUGUGGCACUUUGCAUUAUAUAUGGCACUUUGCGACGCUUUGGCCUUCAAGAGGUGGCCCCCAUAUAGUCCCAAGAGGUGGCCCCUGUACAAUCAUAAAUAAUUGAAAUCAUACAUAGGUACAAAACAUUCGUAUCAGUUUCAUAAAUGUCCAUAACAACAAUUUGGGCUUGCAGAGUAUUUUAUACAUAAAAUCAUAAACGGUAGUCAUCAUAAAAUAAUUGACGUAUUAAAAAGCAUUUAUAAAAUACUUUGUUAAAAAGAAUUUAGGCUUUAAAACAUUUACAUAAAACUAAUUUUGUUAUCAAAAUCAAUUAAUCUUCUAAGUAGUAUAAAAACACUUAUACUUAUAAUAAUAUCAAAAUAAUUAUAUAUAUCCAAUACAUUAGGAAUAAAGUUACUUAUCUUGACAAAAGAAUUUUAAUUAAUGCACCUCUAUACCUCUAAGAGCCUCAACCACCUCCAACACCUUAAACAAAUACAAGAUAUGACAAUUAAUAACUUAUUCUAAGAACUUGAUUUUUUUCUCAUUCAUACUCGUACAGGUCUGAUUUUCGGAAUUUUAACUCUUAAUCUAAACCUCCAAAUGACAUAAUAUUAUACAAGGCUAUUUUGAACAUCCAAUGGUACCUCAUGUAAAGUUUUCAAGAGGAUCCGAUACCAAAAACAUUUUAAAAACUAUUUAUUACUAGACAAAUUUGAAACUGUUUUCACAGUACCUUGACCGAACAUAAUGGGUUCUGAGAUUUUUAUAAAAUACAAUACUGAUCAGAAAAUUACGAAAUUAAAACUGAAAAUAUUAGACACAUAAAUUAACUUCCAUAUAAAAUUUUAGAAUCUUUCGACUUCAUUUAAUAGUACCAAUAAUUUUGUGAAUCUGAUCGCAUUGCUGGAAUUGCAGUUUUCCAGUGCAGUGGUGUCUAUUUCGAAAAUACAUAUAAAAUUGAAAACGAAGUCAAAUUUAAUGAAACAAAAUUUAUUGAAGAAGCCUUACAUGUCUAGUUUCCAGAAAUAUAAAUUUCUUAAGAAAAAUCGUUUAGAAAAUACAGGUUUAAAUUCGAUGUACUCACACUGUCCAGAAUUAUCAUGUGUGCUUAAUGCAGCAAGGAUUAAUUAACUAGACUCAUAAUAAAUCAGAGCCCUAAACAAAGCCUAAACACACCCUAAAUCAUGCAUUAUGAUCUAUAACAAUCUAAAAUCAUGCCAAUAGAAACCCUAAAUAUAGUGAUUGGAAAUCUUGUAGAGAAUAGGGAGAAUAAACUUACCAAUCGCUUUGAUUCUCUCCUAAGCAAAUGUUUGAAUACUAGAGUUUGGGUAGGAGAGCAGCAGAGAAAAAGAAUAAACGUCAUGAACUUAGGGUCAUGGAAGGGGAAAAAUAUGAAUUUAUAAGGAGUCUUAUGUAACCCUAUUGAAUUUUAAAAAAUAAUCAUUUUUUAAAAUUAUCUCAUAAAUAAUCCUUAUUUAUAAUAUAAUAUCCCUUUUUAAUAAGGGUUAUAGGCCACACAUGAUUCCUAAUGAAAACCCAAUUUCCAUAAUGUAAUGUUAUGGAAAUUUGUGGCGUUACAUAAAAGCAUAAUCCAAUGCUUCAUUCUUCUCUCCUCAAUUCGUCCCCAUAACGAGCUGCAAUGGGGGGUUACAAAUUACAAUUGCCCUUAUGUGAGUAGCACCAAUCAAUGUACAAGGUUUACGUACAGGCAUGCACUCACUGGUUACUCAUCAAAUAUUCUUACCAUUUAUAUUUUAUUUUUAUUUAAAAAUACUAUUUGUCUUUUUUAUUUUAUAUCUAUUUCUCGUUAGAGUGUGAUUAUUUGUAUUUUUUUUUGAAAGAGUGACUAUUUAUAUUUUAAUAAUAUUUUUAACACUCAUAUUUUAUUAUUUUUUAAUUUUUAACUGUCUUUCAAUGUUUUUUAUUUUUUAUUUUAAUAUUUAAUAGGUGGUGUAAUUUAUUCAUGUGUAAUGUAAUUUAUUCAUAUGUGUAAAUUGUUAUUUGAUUUAACGCAUUUAUGUAAUAAAAUCUGUUUAUAAAAUGAAGGGUAUUUGUAGCAAAUUUUAGGGUGCGUAAACCAAAAACCUUCGAUGACGUGACAAAAAAUAAAUAAAUAAACGUGAUGAAAUCAAAGGACAAAUACAAAAAAAUAAAUGGGGUACAAUUACAAAAGACGGAAAAAUUGGGAAGCCAACUUACCAGUCAACCGAAAAGCUACCAGUCUCAUACUGAAACAGCUAUUGCUUCUUCUGCUCCUUCUUUUGGCUAAUCCUUUCGCUAAAAGUAAACUUUUUUCUCUUCUUCGAAUUAUAAUUAAUAAUUAUGUGAAUUUUUAUCCACCAAACAAAUAAUAAAAGAAAGACUACUCUUAUUGUUUCAUUGAUAAUUAAUGGCGAGAACCAGCAACAAGAACAUACAAGUCAAGCUGGUGGGUAUGUCUUUCCCUUUAUUUUCUUCUUUGAAAUUAUUUUUUGAUAAGAUUUAAUUUUCUGCCUGCAUGGAUCAUUGCAUUAGCAACAGGGUUCCUACGUUUUAUUUAGAUUCUUUUGCUGCUUUCGUUCUUGUGUUAGAUGUAUCUUACUCCAGGGGCUUCAAGAUUUGGCUUUCUGUUGUGAUUAUGUUAUUUUUAUUAAUUAAAAUUAUGAAGAUAUAACUGCUGCUUUGAUUAAAUUAGGAACGAACAACAGUUUAGUAUUUUAAUUGAACAGGAGAGACACAGCAUAUAAUUAGUUUCAACUUUUACUGUAGAACUUUGCUUCAGCUGCCUAUUAUUGCUGUUUCAUGAAGAUUUUUCAGUACCCAAUAUAGCAGCUAUUAUAUUCUAUUUAUGUACUACUGACAGAGAUCCUUGUUAAUGAAAUUUCUUGAUCUUUUUUUAUUCAGUUAAUUGACACAUUAUUGAGCUUUUGCCAGGUACUUCUUGGGGACAUGGGAACUGGGAAAACAAGUUUGGUAUUGAGAUUUGUCAAAGGCCAAUUUUUUGAUUUCCAGGUUUUGCUUUUGAAUGCGUUUUUCCUAGCUGAGUGUAUGUUCAACUUUUUUAAUUGCUUCUAAUGGUCAAGUGCAUGAGCUCUAAUGUAGUAACGCUGCAGGAAUCUACAAUUGGAGCAGCAUUCUUCACUCAGGUUUUGUCACUGAAUGAAGUCACCAUAAAGUUUGAUAUAUGGGACACGGCAGGGCAAGAACGGUACCAUAGCCUGGCUCCUAUGUACUAUCGAGGUGCAGCUGCAGCUGUCGUGGUGUAUGAUAUUACGAGCAUGGUAGUUAUUUCUAGUGGUUUUCAGUGAAGAAAUUUUGAAUUAGCUUCAAUCCUCUUCGUCCUAACUCGAUUUUCUAUUUAUCUAUGUGAAAGUUUUUGUAGUGGAUUGCACAUGUGAACCUUUAAUGAUUUUUUCACAUUCUAUUUCAACUUAUAAAAACAGCGGAUGUUAUUACUAUCUUUUUCAAUUUGUAUGACUAAAAUGUGUACUUUGUGAGACAAGAAGAUUACGAGCUAGGCGCUCUUGAGGUUUGACAUUAAGUGCUCAAUGACAUGAUCAAGUAGCCUUAGUAGAUCUCAUAUCAAUAGAGCAUACUGCAGGCCUUUUCUGAAUUUCAUCUUAUUCUGUUAAUAGCUGCUCUUGUUACUGAGUACUUCGUUAUGUACCUGAAUCAAACCCUUGUUGACUGUAAUAUUUAGCCUUAUUGAAAGAUAUUGAAUUUCCCAUUUACAGUUUCUUCCAAUUGUUUCAUGGAUGCCAUGCUAUUCUUAUCCAGAAGCCAGAUGUCUGGCUUAACUCAUAUUGCAUUUUUCUUCUAGGACUCAUUUGAAAGAGCGAAAAAGUGGGUUCAAGAAUUGCAAAGACAAGGUAACUAGAGUAUGUGAACCGUUUGCUUUCUCUUUGACUUAGGACCAGCAGAAGGUGUCUUAGAUAAACUGCAGUUAGAAGUUGUUCAGUUGAAAAUUUUGUCAUUAGUAGUUCCUCUCUGACUUGUCUUUUAUUUUAGUCGCUAGAGUGAAGUUUGCAAUCAGUUUCUAGACUAAGUCAUUCACUCGGACUAUUGUCAUCAGCAGGCCCUCAAUACUUUGUUUCUUACAUUAUUGAAACUUAAUUAACUUAGCACAAAUGGACAUGCUGUAUAUUGUCAUACUGUAAGCAGGCAACCUUUCAUGAUAUUCUCCUCACAUGUUUUAUGUCUGCUGUGGCACAUGAAGAUUCAAAUAUUGCUGUCCCACAAAGUUCUACAGCUACUUUUAAUAACUUUAAACGUUUUGUAUUUACUUGAAUCUGUAAAUUUCACAGAAUGUUCUCCUUCAAAAUGAUGUUACAACUUGUAUAGACUGCACUACUAACUAUUGAAAUACAAUUGGCUUUAUUCUAAGUCUUAUUUUUCAUUUUAUAUUGGUUCAGGAAAUCCAAAUUUGAUUAUGUUCUUGGUGGCAAACAAGGUUGAUUUGGAAGAAAAGAGAAAGGUGAAAAAUGAGGUAUCUGUCAAUUCGUCUAUUCUUUAUUUAUAAAUUUCUUUUUUUCUUUUCUUAUGGGUCAAUGGUCAGAAUUGAACCCAAGAACCACUCACCUUCACUCUUUUAGUGCUUGGAGAUCCUUGAACACCUUCUCACUUCAACAUCUGCUCCCUAGAGGUUGCCCUGAACAUCUAGGAACUUAGGUGUCGCAAGUGUCCUCUCUUUGUAUCUGAACUGCACUCUGUACACAAUUUCUUCGGUGAUAUAUCUACUGAAACUGAUUAAAUUUGUGUCUAUAUGAGAACACACUCGCAUAUAAACACAUCCCCGUAAAGCAAAUAGCUCCUUAUGGUUACACUUCAAACUUGUGUCAUGCAAUGGGGAGAGUAUUUCACAUGUAUUGUGUAAUUUAUGUUGGAGUUGAAUCUCUAAAAACUGUUUGCAGGAAGGGGAGUUGUAUGCCCAGGAAAAUGGUCUAUCUUUUCUUGAAACAUCCGCAAAGAGUGCACAUAAUGUCAACGAGCUCUUCUAUGAAAUAGGUGAUUGUACUGAAUGCUUCUCACUCCAAACUUAGCCCAUGCCUUUGUAUCUCAUGCUAAUUGUUGGAACUUCCACUCUGUCCCAGUUAGGAUUACCGUGUAAACUGCAAAGGGUUAUUAUAUAUUGCCUUCUGAUUUGCUCAUUCUUUUUUCUUUUAAGUAAAAUGAUAAUAUAUGUGGGUCAUGCUAAGUUACAUUAUAUGUAACUUACAUCAACCCAAGAUUUGUUCCCAAUAAAUCAAGUGUUGUUUGAUUAUUAACAUAUCUUGAGUUAAUGGGUGCAACUCUUGGGUUGGAUGUAACCCAUAUAUGAUGUAACUUAGCCACACCAUCUACACACGCACAAGCCCCCUUUCCCCCUGGGGAGAGAAAAUAUCCUACAAAGCAAGCAAAUGAUUUAUAGCUCCACAAUAAAUCCAAAAGUGUAUGUUUGCAAUUCAAGUCAUUGUUAAUGCAGCCACUAUGAUUCACAUAGGGUAGAUAUGCUUCUUGUUGUGGUAUGAUUUUUGUGAUUUAUUCAGACUUUCCCUUCAAAGCUCAUGGAUACAUUUUGCUUGCAGCAAAGAGACUGGCAGAAGUUAACCCUUCACGCCAAACUGGAAUGAAGUUGCAUACUGAAAGCCAUGGUGGUGGAAGAAGAGGGUUUUGUUGCUCCUGAAAAUGCCCACAUUUCCUAUCAAAUUCCAGGUGAUUUUCCAACAGGGGCUCCCCGCCCAUCGGAUCCCAUCUUUUAUUUAAAAUAUGAAGCCUCAGUUCAGUUCAAUUACAUGUUGUUUUCCUUGCAUUGCAAAUCAAUAUGUUUUGGAUGUUGGCAUUUGUUAACAGGUUUUCUUCGAUUAUUUUCAAGAAUAUUGCUAUAUGAGAUGGUAAUGGUGGAUUGUCGAGAGUUGAUGAUGGAGCUACCCUGAGGGCUAAUUCUAUUGCAUGCCUGUUGUACGUACGAGAGAACUUUUCACUACUGACGCUUUGUGACUUGUGACAUGUUCAUAUCUAUUAAUAAAUGACUACAGAACUCAAAAUGAAUAAAUGUGUGCUCAUUUAAAAGGUCGUCGAGGGAGUUAAAACUUAAGUUAUGAAUCAUAUGGCGAUGCAAUAUUAGCUGGUACUUUAGAAUCGAUAGCAUAAAGAAAAGAAAUGGGUAUAUAAUGUCAUAGUAGCCCCUAACCUCUUACACAUUGCAACUCAAAACAAAUACGGAAGCUCAAAGAUGAGCAACAUUAAUGUUUAGGCCUUAAAGAUGAUGAUUCAUCAAACGCACUGAAUCUCAAUUCUAAUUCUUUUUUGUAUCAAUUCAGCUUCGGUAUUUUUAAACAGGCCCGAAUAUCAUAACUUACAAUAUAUUAUCUGCAUGAAUUGGAUCGUAAAAGUAGCAGCAGUGGGGUGGGUUGUGGGCUCUAAAAGAAAUGUUUACAGACUUGGAUCAUCCACAGGCCUUAUGAUUGGUCAGAAGACAAAUAGUAGCUAGGGCAAAAGGUUCUCACCGAAUUUGACUCUGCCCCUGGAAAAGUAGAAGGCAGUUGUCAUGUAUCUUCAAGGAAGAUCAUAAACAUCUCCCAGGAUACAUCACGCAAACCAUUUCAGUCUUCGUGAAUAGACAAUAACUCAAAAUCUGUAAUCAAGAAAAUAUACAGCUGGAACAUUUUAUUCUUCAUGGGGAUGUUCACAUGCUAUAUCCAUUUGUUAAUUUACAUAGUCCAUCGAGGACAGAAAAUGGAUACAAAAUUUUGAAUUUUACAAAUGACAUUUUUGCUAAAACAACGCAUUUCAAGUGCAUAGGCCAAUUUUCAUUUGCAUGCAUGACCAGAAAUUAAAGAUACAAAAUUGGAUAGCAAUUAAUAUUGCUUCAUUUCAAGCAUGUGGGGGAUAGAGUUCCCAUAGCGCAACUGUUGAGUCUUCAGAUGCAGAGGCCAUGAGCUUACAAUCAGAUGAGAAUGAGACAGCAUUGCACUACAGUAAUAGCAGAUCAUUUACUUUUAGAAACUAGAAAUAAAUAACCACUCAAAUUUUGAGAAGCCUCAUAAAGAGCAAGAGAAAGCUCGAGAGAUUUAUCAAAUGUCACAAACAUGCAAGUUGCAAUGUCAUAAGAAAGGCAGCACAGAACUCCCUCAAAGUAGAAAAGAAAAACUAAGCCAGUCAACUAAGAGAUCAAUAUGCAGCUAAAUUAUCAGUCAGAUUAGAGGCCAUAGAAUAAUUUGUAUGUAGCUUCGAUUUUAAAUAAAGCAUGGAUGUAAGCUUAUAAACUCUUAAUGCCAAUGAAAAUGGAAAAUGAUGUAUACAUAGGAAUUUCCAAGUAUACGGAGAACAAGUACAAAAAUCUGCCAAGUGAAUAUUUUUUAUGUUGAGAUAAACAGAAAAAUAAAUAACUUCUUCAUUUCAACAUAAAACACUCAAAACUAUGAAGGGAACUUUUGAUUCAUUUUUUAUUCUUUUAACAUAUGAUAAGAGAAAACAUACCGUAGCAUGAUGAUACUUCAAUAUUGCCAGUGCACUUCCUUUGCGAUAAUUAUAUAUCCUAACUCUGUCAAGAAUGAGUAUUUAAAACGUUAAAUUAAAACGAGAAAAGGAACCAGUGAAAGAGGGACUGAAAGCUAACACAGUAGACAAGGUGACAGAUCUUUUAAAACAUAACCUGUAUGCUACAAAAAGUUAUUAAACUUCAGUGUGGUGGUUCUAGAAAUUAGGAAAACUUAAAGGGGAAAAAAAAUCUAAUAUUUGAUGUUGUUUCAACUUCUGGAAAAAGGAAAGGGAAGAGGAAGAAGAAGAAGAAGAAGAAUCUUAGCUAAGAUUGUAUGUAACAUAUCCGUAAUUUGCUACUAAGAGAACCUCGAGAUUGAUGGGAAAUUCUUUUAGGAGUUGAUCGAGUUCAAAUUGGUUUAAGAAAUCACUAAAAAAUUUCCUAGUAAAAUCAUAUAAUUUAGAAAUACUGACAUGUAAUCGAUCUUUUCCACUCGAUAUAUGAUUUAGACAUUAAACCAGGAACCUGUGUCAUUUAUAUCUUAUGUUUUUUGCAUUUCAAUGAAUAUCCUGAUAAAUUCAGACUAGAUAGAUUAAGUGAAAAAGAAUUCAAUACAGACCUGCGAUCCCAGCCAGCAGUUGCUGCAAUUUUGCUAUCAGGUCGAAUUGAGGUGCCUGAUAUGCCAGGUCGUUCCAAAUUUAUUUCCUUCUUGAUCACACACGAACCCUAUGCCAAAUAGCACGUACUGUAACUACACAUCAGACUUUAAAAAAUAUAUGCUGAGGUAGAGAAACCAAAGCAAAGAGUCAUUAACACGCAACAGGUAGUCAAGUAGUAGCAGUGAAACAAAUCAAGUUGUAGCACUCAAAGUCUGAAACAAACCAAUGAAAAUAAAAGGUCAAGAUAGUUUCCUACAGAAGCAUUAAUAAAAUUUAUAUCUUUCAUCUCACCCACUGCUGUUGGUCACUCCGUGUUAGGCCCCUCAAAAUUCCAAAUGUAAGGCUCAUAAUAAAAAAUAUGCGAAUGCAAAAAUUACACAUAUAUCCCUCCAUCUUCUGCUCAACUUCAACAUGCCACCAAUUGGCUUUCUUAUAAUACAGGAGAGGUUAUAUACAGAGAAUCAGAGCAAUAACUAAAUGACACAGUGACUUACCGUGGAAUGAUCUAAAUUAUACAGUACAAUCUUUUGGUCUGCACCUCCUGAUAUGCCUCCAUUGCAUGACUCAUCAAUGCUCAGACAUAGUACUGCAAACAAAAUAUGACAUGAAUCACACUGAAUGAGAAAAUAUAAGUGAGAAGGAAAAUAAAGGAGAAAAAGAAUACAUGGGGUUUCUCCACAUGCUGCAUUCCAAACCUGGCUCUAAAUGAACCUUCAUGGCAGUAAGUGGAAUCCCUGGAUUCCGUAUAUCCCAUACAAGAAUGGAACCAUCCUCAUAUCUGUCAUGUGUACAGGAAAAGGGACACACAUCAUAUAGGUUGAAAGGUUAAUGAACUUUAAGGAUCAAGGGAACUACUUUAUCUAUUAUAGUGUGGCACCUACGCAAAUCCAAAAACCUAAUGUUGGAUAAUCAUGAUCAGUGAUCAUAAACAGACUUAAAUUGCUGAAUACUGUGAACAUCUAUGGCCACAAACCACAUAAAAUGGCUUGAACUUUAGCCUGGAAUCCACCAACCAACCAAGAAACUUUUGAAUUCAUGUCAUAAAACCAAUAAAUGUGUGCAGGUACUUUGGGAAGGAGUACCUACCCUGCCAAGACAUUUACGAAUCCUUGUGAUUUAGAAGGUAAAUAUGCUUGAACCGCCAUGCACAUCCCUGAGAAGAAAGCAACUUAUUAUAUAUCUAACUUCCGGAUCAUUGAAGCAAGAAUACUUUUUCUAAAAUCAUAUUUUAUGUCACAUCAUGUCAUUCUGGAACACUUGCAAUAUUUUAAUCAGAUACAACCGUUCAAUCAAGUUAGGGGAUCAAACUUAUGAGUAUGCAUACAUAGUGGCUCUAUAUGCACAACUCUAAUAUAUUGUUUUACUGAAAUAACUAACACCAUUGUCAUAGGCCAAAAGGUGAUAUAAGAAAAGAAAGACCUCUUCCUUUAGACGAAAAGUUUGGAGAGCCCCCACAGCUGUUUUGAUGUAAUCGCGUACAUCUUUCUGCAGUGUUGAGAUCCCAUAUUUCGACCUUUAAACAUCAAAAACACAGAAACAGCGAACAAUUGGGAACAACAAAAAUAACAUAAUUCUCUACUUGAAAUAGAAAUUUGAAGCAGUAUAUUGACCUCAGAAAGCUGUUCUCCUGCUACGGCCAUAUACUUAGGUCCUUCAGCAGGCACAUCAUCUAUGAUUUCAAAAGAUCUAUUACUUUCUGCUUCAACUCAUCAUGCAUCGGUAAAGAUCAAAACAAAAACGUUCAAAAAAUGAGUGGAGUGAAACUUUCUCACAAUAUGUUGAAGAAACAUGUAUAUAUUAACUAAACCGGCUUGAAGAUCACUGUGACAUUCAUGUAUUUAUAGAUAACAGUCAGAAGUAUGCCUUGCCAUCCUGACAAGAUAUUACUACUUGGAUUCUUUUGCAAAUUACAAUUAAUCAUAUUAUGAAACAAAGACACGAUGUUAAUGCAUAAUUCAGCAUCCAGUUGUGGGGGGAAAAAGAAAAAAUUAAGAGAAAUUUUGUUGAGAUUAUUUGCCCAUUCUAAGCAUAUUUGAGUUCCCCACAGUAGACUAAUAAUAAAACCAUUUAUAUACUUUCACCAAAACUUUGAUGAUCAACUUUGAUUGGAAAUAAAUAAAUCCUUUUGCAAUAUUAAUUUCAACAAACCUACGAGGUUUGUUAAGCCUUACCUUUGCUGUCACACAGACUAUCUGUAUCAACUGUUUCUCCAACCUCCCUCUCAUAGCAAUCCUUAGGCUCGUUAGCUUGUUUUGCAUUAGCAUAAGGCUCCUUUACUAAUGAAAGCUUGCAAAAGUGAUAUGAGUUUGUUUUGAUAGUCAGUGAUGGGUUACUGCCAAUCACAACAGCUCAAUUUUAACAACCAAGACAAAAUUAACAAGGGGCAAUAAGGUUUCUAUGAAAUGAUAAGAAUAAAAAUUAAAUGUAGUGAAAAAAAACGUUCACAUACUAAAAGUACAAAUUCUAUAGGAAACACCCCACGCUAGUGAUGAAUGGUAACAACCCAUUCUCCUCAUAUCUGCGAACCCAAAACAUGUACUGAAUCGGUAAUGCUUCUACCAUCCCACAAAAAAGUCUACUACUCCCCUCACACAAAGAAUAACCAAUUUCCCUUUUAACAAUUUAUUAGUUGAUUGAUAAUCAGACAUUACAACCAAUCUACAUGUCACCGACAUAUGCAAAUAAAAGUGCUAAAUCAUGUAAUAAGCAAGCGGGCAGAAGACAAUAAACAUGAGCUAAUUUGUUUAUACAAGCGGAAGCCUAGGAUAAUAGUACCUUGAUAAACCUCCAUUUUCUAUGUCCCAACACUUAACAGUUCCAUCUCUACCCUGGCUACAAGACAUACGACACGAGCAUUAGUUCCCGAAGAUGAAAAAAUGAAAUCAAAUUUGUGGCAAAAAAAUGUAAAAUAGAAUAUUGAGAAAGCACCUUAUGACUUUGUUAAGUCCAAUUGAAGGACCAGUAGCAACAGAUACAAUGCCAUGUGCCGCACUAUGCACCCUGCAAGCAAUACAACGAUCAAAUUCAAAACCAUGAUCAUUAAAAAUAAUAAUAAUCAAAUGAAAGAAAUAACUGACCAUGAAGAAGACACGGUCCGGUGUUGAACCGUAUCCCAAAUUCGCAGCUCACCGCCAGUAGUACUGCAAAAUAAGAGUGCAAGUUUUAGUCAGUUCCGUAGAACGAAAAAACAAACAAACAAAAGAAUAAUAAAUGGAGUUUGAAUUAGAACCCUGCGAAUAGAAUUGGUUUUGUUUGAUGGAAACAAACGUCUGUGACGGAAGCCCGAUGGCCCCUUAGCACAGCCACCGGAUCAGGAGGUGGCGGUCUCUUGCUCAUUCUCCCAAAUCAACUUCUAGAAUGAUCAAUUUCAAAACGGUGCUGGAGCCUGGAGGUGUCGUUUUGGUCCUUUUUUGGAGCUGUUCGGGCUUGCAUUCGGUUACUUUUGGUAGCGGGAGUGUUGAUGUGUGUAGAGCACCAACGAAACGACGGGAAUCACAAGGACCUGCCAAUUGCCAUAAGAGUUAGAGUUGCUGACUCAAUUGCCUUAAUUUCAAUCAAAUUAUGUUUUUUUUUUUUUAAUUUAAUAAAAAUUUUCAGAUUUUCAGUUAUUAAGUUAAUGUUUUAAUUUUUUGUUUAAUUUAAAAAUCUGAACGAUAUCAAUAAAAAAAUAUUAUCCAAAAUACCUCUAUCUUUUUUAUUAAUUUAAAUAAAAUUUAAUAAUUAACUCUAUUACCUAUCUUUAUAACUUAUGAUAAUAUAAUGGCAGAUUAUUAUUAUUUUUUUAUCUUCUAUUUUCUCAAAUUAGCAUUAUUUAUGUUCAUAAAUUUUUAUGAAUAUUUUUCAUAUGGAAACAUUAUAAACUAUAAUAAAAUUAAUUAGCAUAAACUAAUUUAGAAUAUCAAAGGGUUGUAUUCAAUUGAAUAUGAUUUAUUUUAUAAUAAUAUAUUAUCUUAUUUAUAUUUUUUAAGAUGUCUAUUAUUUGUUUAACAUUUAUAAUUUAUAAGGGCAUAUAUGUAAAAACACUAAUUUUUAGAUUUUUUAAGUUAAAAAAUAACUUAAUACUUAUUUCAACGGUUCAGACAAAAAAAAUACUCAUAUCAGUUAAAUUCAAAUAAUUGGCUCUAUUCAAAAUUCAUAUUAAGAGGAUGUUUGUUUUUAACUUAAUGAUUUAAAGUGACUUAACUUAAAUAAUUAAGUUAAUAAGAGAUGUUUGUUUCUUUAACUUAGUGGGACUUUUCAAAUAAUUAUGACUUAAUAAGCCCCCCCCCCUUUUUUUUUUUACUAAUAGAGAAAUAUGAAUUAGUCAACUAAUUUCUAAUGUCAAAAAGAUUCAUAAUUUAUUACUUUUUUCAUGCCUAUCCAAAAAUCCACCCAUACAUGUUUAUCCACUAAUAAUCUCAUUUUUAUUUUCAACCAUCAUGGAAUCCCUCCUUACUUUGCUUUUUCUCAUCAUGUUCUUGAAUCUCUCAUUAUUGCUAAUCAAAGAUAUUAUUCUUAAGUUUUGUUAUGUAAUUAUAUAAUUUGUUUUUAUUUAAACGGUAAAAUGUUAUGAUAUUUAUGUCCUUUGAAAUAUACAUAUAUAAAGGAUGCAAAAGUAAAAGUACAUGUGUUAGUCUGAUUUUGGUUCAGCUCAAAGCACUAUGAGAACUUCUCUGCAGAGGGUUGUUUUCUGGUAAAGAUGCAUAUUGGGAUAUAUAGAGACGAUUUUCUAAGGAUGGUGAUAGCUAAGACAAACAUGAAAUCACAAGAAACAGACGUUAGAGGCAGCGCGAUGGCUAGAGACGGCAUUCCAACCGUCAAUAUAGUAUAAGGUUGAAGAAGAUGAUGGAUUUUCCAAAAACCCUACGAGAAAAUUAAGUGUUUUGUGAAUUAGUGAACUUACUUCUUUUGUGAUUAACCUGAUUUUUUAAAAGUAUAUUGCCCUUGAGGGCAUCUUUAUCUCCUUUUGAACAUGUGGCGAGCCGUUAUUAGUGACUUCCCUUCUCAGGUAGGGUUUUAAGGGUAAUUUGGCACAUCUUGUGGAGGUGUUUUAGCUUGUUUGGGUUGGAUAGCUGUCCACUAGGGAUAGUAUGUACUUGGCAACAUAUCAUCAACUCUGAUUGGCCGAUUUUAAAUGAACCAAUUGGGUUGAGAAGUACUUGAUUUCACUAGAGAUUGUGCAGGUGACUUUGUCUGUGAUCCCCUUUCCUCAAUUUUGACUUUGAUAGCUUGUAAGGAGAUAUUUUAGAGACAAUCGAGGUGGAGACUUUGUUGUGAUGAUGUGUCCUGUUACCGUUGGCAAGGCUAUCAUUGUUUUGUGGUCUCGUAUUAACACGUGGCGGGUUACACUAUAGGAGGCAUUGUUUGUUAUCCUCGGAUUAUUUGGGUGGCUGAUGCUAGUUCUUUGAGAUCUUCCAAUUUCAUCCUCCCUUUUUAGCUUCCUAUUUAUCCUUUGUCACAAUCCCGAGUCCUAUUCAAUACCUCUAGUCUACAUUUUACCACCAAUAAUAAAUGUUUUUUAGCUUUUAAAGUUGAAAAAACAAACCACUUAAUACUUAUGUUUAGAGAUUCACAAAAAUAUAUAUAUUAGAACGCUAAGAUUAUUAUAUAUUCACUUGAAUGUGGUUUUGGUUAUAUAUGGUAAAAUGUUAUGAUAUUUAUGUCCUUUGAAAUAUAUAUAUAUAUAUAUAAAGGAUGCAAAAGUAAAAGUACAUGUGUUGGUCUGAUUUUGGUUCAGCUCAAAGCACUAUGAGAACUUCUCUGCAGAGGGUUGUUUUCUGGUAAAAAUGCAUAUUGGGAUAUAUAGAGACGGUUUUCUAAGGAUGGUGAUAGCUAAGACAAACAUGAAAUCACAAGAAACAGACGUUAGAGGCAGCGCGAUGGCUAGAGACGGCAUUCCAACCGUCAAUAUAGUAUAAGGUUGAAGAAGAUGAUGGAUUUUCCAAAAACCCUACGAGAAAAUUAAGUGUUUUGUGAAUUAGUGAACUUACUUCUUUUGUGAUUAACCUGAUUUUUUAAAAGUAUAUUGCCCUUGAGGGCAUCUUUAUCUCCUUUUGAACAUGUGGCGAGCCGUUAUUAGUGACUUCCCUUCUCAGGUAGGGUUUUAAGGGUAAUUUGGCACAUCUUGUGGAGGUGUUUUAGCUUGUUUGGGUUGGAUAGCUGUCCACUAGGGAUAGUAUGUACUUGGCAACAUAUCCUCAACUCUGAUUGGCUGGUUUUAAAUGAACCAAUUGGGCUGAGAAGUACUUGAUUUCACUAGAGAUUGUGCAGGUGACUUUGUCUGUGAUCCCCUUUCCUCAAUUUUGACUUUGAUAGCUUGUAAGGAGAUAUUUUAGAGACAAUCGAGGUGAAGACUUUGUUGUGAUGAUGUGUCCUGUUACCGUUGGCAAGGCUAUCAUUGUUUUGUGGUCUCGUAUUAACACGUGGCGGGUUACACUAUAGGAGGCAUUAUUUGUUAUCCUCGAAUUAUUUAGGUGGCUGAUGCUAGUUCUUUGAGAUCUUCUAAUUUCAUCCUCCCUUUUUAGCUUCCUUUGUGAAUUAGUGAACUUACUUCUUUUAAAAACCCUACGAGAAAAUUAAGUGUUUUGUGAAUUAGUGAACUUACUUCUUUUGUGAUUAACCUGAUUUUUUAAAAGUAUAUUGCCCUUGAGGGCAUCUUUAUCUCCUUUUGAACAUGUGGCGAGCCGUUAUUAGUGACUUCCCUUCUCAGGUAGGGUUUUAAGGGUAAUUUGGCACAUCUUGUGGAGGUGUUUUAGCUUGUUUGGGUUGGAUAGCUGUCCACUAGGGAUAGUAUGUACUUGGCAACAUAUCCUCAACUCUGAUUGGCUGGUUUUAAAUGAACCAAUUGGGCUGAGAAGUACUUGAUUUCACUAGAGAUUGUGCAGGUGACUUUGUCUGUGAUCCCCUUUCCUCAAUUUUGACUUUGAUAGCUUGUAAGGAGAUAUUUUAGAGACAAUCGAGGUGAAGACUUUGUUGUGAUGAUAGGUGACUUUGUUUGUGGUCCCCUUUUCCUCAAUUUUGACUUUGAUAACUUGUAAGGAGAUAUUUUAGAGACAAUCGAGGUGGAGACUUUGUUGUGAUGAUGUGUCCUGUUACCGUUGGCAAGGCUAUCAUUGUUUUGUGGUCUCGUAUUAACACGUGGCGGGUUACACUAUAGGAGGCAUUAUUUGUUAUCCUCGAAUUAUUUAGGUGGCUGAUGCUAGUUCUUUGAGAUCUUCUAAUUUCAUCCUCCCUUUUUAGCUUCCUAUUUAUCCUUUGUCACAAUCCCGAGUCCUAUUCAAUACCUCUAGUCUACAUUUUACCACCAAUAAUAAAUGUUUUUUAGCUUUUAAAGUUGAAAAAACAAACCACUUAAUACUUAUGUUUAGAGAUUCACAAAAAUAUAUAUAUUAGAACGCUAAGAUUAUUAUAUAUUCACUUGAAUGUGGUUUUGGUUAUAUAUGGUAAAAUGUUAUGAUAUUUAUGUCCUUUGAAAUAUAUAUAUAUAUAUAUAAAGGAUGCAAAAGUAAAAGUACAUGUGUUGGUCUGAUUUUGGUUUAGCUCAAAGCACUAUGAGAACUUCUCUGCAGAGGGUUGUUUUCUGGUAAAGAUGCAUAUUGGGAUAUAUAGAGACGGUUUUCUAGGGAUAGUGAUAGCUAAGACAAACAUGAAAUCACAAGAAACAGACGUUAGAGGCAGCGCGAUGGCUAGAGACGGCAUUCCAACGGUCAAUAUAGUAUAAGGUUGAAGAUGAUGAUGGAUUUUCCAAAAACCCUACGAGAAAAUUAAGUGUUUUGUGAAUUAGUGAACUUACUUCUUUUGUGAUUAACCUGAUUUUUUAAAAGUAUAAUACCCUUGAGGGCAUAUUUAUCUCCUUUUGAACAUGUGGCGAGCCGUUAUUAGUGACUUCCCUUCUCAGGUAGGGUUUUAAGGGUAAUUUGGCACAUCUUGUGGAGGUGUUUUAGCUUGUUUGGGUUGGAUAGCUGUCCACUAGGGAUAGUAUGUACUUGGCAACAUAUCCUCAACUCUGAUUGGCUGGUUUUAAAUGAACCAAUUGGGCUGAGAAGUACUUGAUUUCACUAGAGAUUGUGCAGGUGACUUUGUCUGUGAUCCCCUUUCCUCAAUUUUGACUUUGAUAGCUUGUAAGGAGAUAUUUUAGAGACAAUCGAGGUGAAGACUUUGUUGUGAUGAUGUGUCCUGUUACCGUUGGCAAGGCUAUCAUUGUUUUGUGGUCUCGUAUUAACACGUGGCGGGUUACACUAUAGGAGGCAUUGUUUGUUAUCUUCAGAUUAUUUAGGUGGUUGAUGCUAGUUCUUUGAGAUCUUCCAAUUCCAUCCUCCCUUUUUAGCUUCCUAUUUAUCCUUUGUCACAAUCCCAAGUCCUAUUCAAUACCUCUAGUCUACAUUUUACCACCAAUAAUAAAUGUUUUUUAGCUUUUAAAGUUGAAAAAACAAAUCACUUAAUACUUAUGUUUAGAGAUUCACAAAAUAUAUAUAUAUAUAUAUUAUUCAAAAUCCAACAUUCAAGUUAAUUCAAAUUUCAAACUAAUUUAGAUUUAUUCAGAUUUCAUAUUAAAAUAAAAAAACAAACAGCAUCUAAUUUGGAUUUGUUCAGAUUUCAGAUAAAAAAAUAAAUACCGCUUUAGAGUAAUUUUGGCAUUAAAUUGAAUUAGAAAAUCAUGUAUAUUUUAUUUAUUGUGGCAAAUUAUUUUUUUUUCAUACACUAAUAUAUGUAUUAAAAUUAAAAAUUUAUUGAAAUUAUCUUUGAUAAGUCUAUUUUAUUAUAAUUUAAAAAUCUAUUCUUACAUAAUACCAAAAGAAUAUCUCCUCUAGUUACAUUUAGUGGGAUUUGAAACAUAUUCCUAUCCAAUUCAAUUGAAGAAGGAAAAUGAGAAGCUGAGACUCAACCCAUGCUCUAAAAUUUUCUAAAAUUUGUGAGUGCAUUAGCCCAUUAGGAAUUAAUUCCUUUUGAAAGGAAUUUGAAUCUAUGGCAAAUAGAUGUAGGCAAUUAAAAAUCUAAAAUUAGCAACUUAAUUAAUUCUCAAAAAUAUUGUUCACUGAUAUUGUUCACGAUUAUCGUUCAUGGUUACUAUUUACAGUUACUGUUCAUCCACAUCAAAAAUAUUAAUUUUUCAAGAAACAAUAAAUUGCAGAAAAUAAAGACACAAUGAUUUUUAUAUACCUCUCUUUAUAUAGACACUAAGGUUUCACAAAAAUAGUAAGUCUUUAAAGACUUUGAUUCUUUACAAAUAAGAGUUUCUUUCCUCUUAUAAUUCCUAUGAAUCUGAAUAGGAAUAAAUAUGAUUUCUUGUCUUACUUGUCUCCCAAGAAAUAUCUGGAGCAUUUAAUGAACUUCCUGUUUGAACCAGUUUCUAGCUCUAAAUAGAUCUCACGCGUCAAUUAUAGAAUCUCAUCAUUAAUUGACUUACUAAAUUAGACAUCUAAUUAAAUUAGGAAACAAAUAUUCCUAAUAAAUUGGAAUAUCACUAAAUUAGGGAAUUAAUAAAUUAAUCUCUAUUACAAGAUAUGCAAUAAAUAAAAUUCUAAUUUAACUAGACUUGUCAUAAGAUACAAACUCUAUAAAUAAUGGACUUAACACCUUUUAUUAUUAAUUCGCUCUCGAAUUUUAGGACUUGAAUCUUAAAGAAAAAACCAUUCUUUACUACUGUAUUUAGACGUUUACUUUGCUACGACAAUUAACUUUUUUCUGUUACGAUGGAUUGUAAAAUUAAUUCCUAUUACAAGAUAUGUAAUGAAUAAAAUUUCAAUUUAAUUAGACUUACCAUAAACUAUCAACUCUAUAAAUAAUGGACUUAACAUCUUUUAUUAUUAAUUCGCUCUCGAAUUUUAGGACUUUGAAUCUUAAUGAAAAAAUUACUCUUUACUACUGUAUUUAGACGGUUACUUUACUACGACAAUUAACUUUUUUCUGUUACAAUGGAUUGUAAAAUGGAAUCAUAAGAAUCCAAAAGAAAAUCGAAGUAGAAUUUGACAUUUUCAUAUCCUGUCUUAUUUUAGUGUUGAUGAUGCACAGAUGCAGGCAAACGGCGUAUUUGAAGAACGGCACUGUCCCGCCCAAACAAACAAUUAACUAUUGCGCGCUUCAAGACCGAAGAGAACGAAUCACAUGUUGCAGCCCAUACUUCCUCUUCGAUUUGUCAUUAUCAUCAAUUGAUUGCAGUUUUAACUAAAAAAAAUUACAAUUUUUAUAAUUACAAUUGGUAAAAAUGAUUAUCGGAUUGUGUUCAUGUCUUGUAAUUUUGUGUCGGUAAUAAAUUUAAGCUGGCCUAAAUAUGAUUUAUUAGAUAAUUAUUUUAAAAUAUUGAGAUUUUAAUCCACACAGAAAAUAAAUAAAUACCUUAAUAAUAUGUUUAGUCUUUAUAUUUAACAAGAUUUACAUUAAAUAUUUACAUUCAUUUAUAUAUGCACACGCAUAUUUGUCAAUAUUUUAUAUAUUUACACUAUUAAAGUUUUAAAUUUAUAUAAAAUUUUAUAAACGAAACACUACGUAUAUUUUCAUCAUUUCAAAAAAAAAAUAGAAAAAGAAAAUCAUGUCUAGUAGUUGAGUUUUGAUGAUGAGAGCAUACAAAUUGGUUUUAAAUAGAAAAUAUAAUUAUGUACUUAAUUAAGUAAAUGGUUAAGAAAUUUAACGUUAAUCCGACACAGAAAAAACCGUGUCAAUCCUAUCCUAAUCUAUUUAAUAAUAAUAUUAAAUUUAAUGACCCAUAUUCAUUUAUUUGUAUCGCAUUCGUAUUAGAUAAUUGAAUUAUGUCAAAUUUUAUCAGUUGUAUUUAACUAUUUAUAAUAUAAAAAAUUAUAAUAAUUACAGCUUUACUCACUACCGCUUCUAAUAUAAUAAUAUCCACAAAAGGACAAAUGCACUGUCGGUUAAUGGGAUUAAACAGCACAGCAUAAUCCAAUUAAGUGGAACUGAUGGGACAACAGCAGAUCUAAAUCUAAUCCACGUGGAAAGAUGUAAACGGGGUCACUUCGACAUUUUCCACUCUGAAUGCAUAAUUCAAUUACUUUUUGAUUAAUCAGGGAAUCGGCUACGUGUACAAAUCAGCUUCCUAAUCAAACAAACCCACAUGAAGGGCCUCGCCAAUGUCCUCAUCAACCCACACUCGUGUUCAUUAGUCCAUGUGCUAAUUGUUCUUUUGUAAUCUGAUUUCUGACAAUUGUUCCCAUGUUUUUAACCAUCAUUAACAAUGUCAUUAUUUUUAGAGUUUUUCCAUUAAUUAUUAACUUAAUAUUAUGAUGUCUAGUGGAUCUCCUAUAUGUUAAUUUAAUAUUGUAAAUUUUUAUUUUCUUAUAAUAUACAUAUAUCUCCUCAAUAAUACAGGCUAAUUGAGAUAGUCAUUACAGGAAUUAAAAUUAGGUAGAUAGAUGGUACAUCAAAAGUCAUGAUUUCUAAAUUUCUAGAUUUCUAGAUUUCUAAAUUUCUAGAUUUCUAGAUUUCUAAAUUUCUAAAUACAUUGGGAACUUAACGGACUUAGCCAGAUAAGGAAGAGGGAGGUGGGAUUAUUAUUUGGAUAGCUUCAAUAUGGACAAACAAGGUGAAGUCAUGGAGAGCCACCACUUUGAUUGGAUUAGUUCUAACCAUGAAUGACAAAAUCUCCAUUUCAAUAUUUUAUCAUAAAACAAAAUUAAAAUAAAACAAAAGUAAAAAAGCUGGUUGGCUCCUUUAGUAUUCCUACUGCUUUAUAUAUAUGUGUGUGUGUGUGUGUGUGUGUGUGUGUGUGUGUGUGUGUGUGUGUGUGUGUGUAUGCACCUAAAACAUUGUACAUUGGGAACUUAACGGACUUAGCCAGAUAAGGAAGAGGGAGGUGGGAUUAUUAUUUGGAUAGCUUCAAUAUGGACAAACAAGGUGAAGUCAUGGAGAGCCACCACUUUGAUUGGAUUAGUUCUAACCAUGAAUGACAAAAUCUCCAUUUCAAUAUUUUAUCAUAAAACAAAAUUAAAAUAAAACAAAAGUAAAAAAGCUGGUUGGCUCCUUUAGUAUUCCUACUGCUUUAUAUAUAUGUGUGUGUGUGUGUGUGUGUGUGUGUGUGUGUGUGUGUGUGUAUAGAUAUAGGUUGAUACAUAAGUUGCUUUUUCUUCGGACUCGGCUAUGGCCUCUCAUGGUAGCAUCAAAGUUAGCACUACCACCUCCCCAAAAGGUGGCAAGAGUACUACUGAUCCUCACGGCGGCGGUGCCGGUUCACCGAAAGGGCAGUGCCUGUGUUCGCCGACGACUCACCAAGGGUCGUUCCGGUGCAGAUUUCAUCGGACGGCUGCAGGAGGGUCAUCGGCGGCUUGGAUCAUGAAGCGAUCAAACUCCAUGCCUGCCGAUAAAUCAGCAGCGGUGGCUUCUUUUUCUCCCAAGUCAGUUGAGACUUGACCGCGCCUAUUCCAUGUAAGCUAAAGAUUAAUUAAUGGCAGCUAGCUGCUUCUUCAUAUAUAUCUUUCAAAGCUCUGUAAAAAAAAACAAUAUGUAAUAGCUUUGAUACUUGACUUUAUAUGUUUCUGCUUGGGAUUUUCAAUGCUUGAAACUGUUAAAACUCGUUCUUGAUAAUAGCCUAUAGGCAGCCCGCGGCUGGUAUGUAAAAUUAAUUCCUCCCUCUGUUGUUCGUUUGGCUCCUGUAUGUUAAUAAUUCUUGCUUUCAUUAUUAGUCUGUUCCCUUUUUUGUUCUCCGUUUAAUUAAGCUUGUAGAUUGAUGAAUCUGUUAUAUCAGUCUUUUUGACUCUGAAAAAUUAAUACCAAGAGACGAAUAUAGAAUUUUGUUUUUAUUUUUUUUUCUCCCCACUCAAAACAAGUUAGGGCACUAAUCUUUGACCUGAUCAAAUGGUAAUUAAAAAACCGAACGUAUAUAGUUCAUUCUUAUCCACAAAAAUUACACAUAUCGGUCGAGGACAAAAGCAAUAUUGAAGUUUGAUUAUAGUGUCUUCAUUUUUUUUUCAUUUUUUUUUUCUGGACGGUAAUGGAAUGGUUGGAUGAGUUAUGAAUGGCUCUCUCUCAUUUUAGGGUAAAGAACCCAUCAAAGAUUUUUUUUAUGUUAAAAUAAUAAAAUGAGUUGAUCAAGAUUGAAGAACGCUUGAUUUUUUGUUCCAAAGCUAUUCUGAGAUGGUGAUGGGCGCAUGUACGUGACAAUUCAUGAGAGUGUUUCCAUCCAGAAUCCAGAUAGCUACGCGCCUCUUAGGAAUUAAAAUUCAAUAAUUGAGAAUAUUAAUUCAUAAGUUGAUCAUACAAAUCAAAAGAAAAUGACAUCAAUGAAGUGUUUAAGCACCGUGGUGUGGAGUCGUAGUCCAUACCUCGUCCACAAAAAAGAUUUUGCUAUAACAUGACAGUACGCGUAUUAAUAUUGCUAAGCACGUGUAAUUUAAUUAACGUUUGAUUUUGUUUUUGCCAAUAAUAGGAGUCUUUUAAUCUUAGUUUAUCUAAAAGUUGUAUAAGGGUUACAUUUAUAAGCCCGUUUGACCAUUUGAGGUUCCUUAGCAAUAACAAUUUCUUGAAGCAGCGUUGUGAUGGGAUUUGUCUAAAGCGCUGAAACUGAUUUUGAGAGUUAAUUAAGGGAGUGAGUUCAAUUUUCUGCAAUUUCAGAAUUCGAGUUCUCCUUAAAUUAAUCUAUCGAAAAAAUCGUGAGUAAGUUCCUCAUGAAUUCUUUUAUAGUUCGGGCACUCUUAUUUUUUUCACAUUAUUAAAUCAUAAAGUUUAAAUAGAGUCGGUGCAGACAUGUUAUUAGACUGUAUAAUUUUAUAAUAUAUUGAGAAAUGAUUCUCUUAAGAGUGAUGAUACAACCAUAAUCUUUUGUACAUAUUUAUUUUAUACAAACUGAUAUGACAUUAAUUCAUUGGUUGAAUAAAAUUAUAAAAUAAUAUAAAUAAAUCAUGUGGGCUAAAAAAUAUUUAAUUCAAUCAAUGAAUUAACGUCAUAUCAAUUUGUACAAAAUAAGUUUGUACAAGAGUUUGUAACUACAUCAUUACUCUUCUAUUAAACCACACAAUUUAAUUUCGUGUCCACAUUAAAAAAAAAAAAUAGUGCCCGCACUUGAGAAUAAUUAGUGUCCUCCUAUAAAUGGAUGCGGUGAUUUAGGACGGCCGUAAUAAAAAUUAAUAAAUGAAAUCCAUUAAUUCUAAUAUAUUUAUGAUAAUUAAAUAUUAUUAGCAUUGUAACUCUAACUAAAAAAAAUUAUUUAAAAAUAAGAGAUUUUAAAAUGUAUCAAAGAUAAUACAAUUAAUGAGACACAUAUGAUACAUGCCAUUAAAUUUAAUACAAUUACAAUUUUCAUUAUAAUUUUUUAGAAUAAGUAUACAUAAUAGUAUUAGUUAUAUUAUUAUAUGACUAAUAUAAUGCCAAUAAAUAUAUUUUAGAAUUUCUCCAAUGUGAAAAAUAUAGUGAGCAACGGGUUAUUUUGCAGUUGACUUCUAAAGCGUGUCGCCAGAUAAGAUCUUGUCGUAAGCCACUCUGAUCAUGCCACGUCGCACUACAACCCCGCAAGACAUGCUUGCUAAACUAAAAUCACAAAAUUACAUCACAAGAAUUAAGGUGCCGUACGCAUUAAAAAGAUUAAUGAGAUAAAUUACCUCCUUCGGCCACAUCUAAAUCAUGCUACCACCAAGUCUCCUAACCCACCAAACAAAACAACGAUGGGUUCAGGUUCAACUCACGACCACGUGGCGUACGCGCCCCUUCCCACGGAAAACGUCAUCGUUCUACCCGUCUACUACCAACCCGAUCUCCGCCGCUGGCGGCGCCGCCGAAAUCUCAGCAGAUGUCUAUGCACAGCCGCCGCCAUCGCGAGUCUCCUCGCUGUUCUGGUAUUCAUAUUCUACCCCUCCGACCCGUACCUCCAACUCGCCCGUAUCCACCUCAAUCACAUCCGAGUCAACUCGUCUCCUCAACCCACGCUGGACCUUUCCUUCUCUCUCGUCGUCAAGGUCCACAACAGAGACUUCUUCUCGUUGAACUACGAUUCGCUCGAUGUUUCGAUCGGUUACAGAGGGAGAGAGCUAGGGUCGGUGAGGUCCCACGGAGGCCGAGUGAGAGCCAGAGGCAGCUCGUAUGUUAAUGCCUCGCUGAAACUCAAUGGCCUUGAGGUUAUUCAUGACGUUAUUUACUUGAUUGAGGAUUUGAUCAAGGGGGUCAUCCCCUUUGAUACCGUUACUAUGGUCAAAGGCGAGCUCGGAGUUUUGUUCUUUGAAAUUCCUUUGAAGGUAUUUUCUUUUUUAUAAACAUUCGUUCGCGGUGUUGAAUUAAUCGCUUGUAUUUUGAUUAGCUGUAUAUAUAUUUAUAUCCAAGUUGCCUUGAUUUCUUAAUUGUGAAUUGUGAGUUCAAUUAUUUGAUUGAUUUAGAAACAAACAAUUCGGAGAAUUACUACGCAUAUUUAUGAUUUUUGAACUGUUUCAGGCGAAAGUAUCCUGUGAAGUGUAUGUAAAUACAAGCAACCAAACUAUUGUCCGGCAAGAUUGUUACCCUGAGGUGAGAAAAGUGCAUUUCUCUUAUGUAGCUGAACAGGAUUUUGAUUUAAAUAGAAAUUUGCUGUGCAACAAAAUUCCAUUUUAAGUGCCGUAGAUAAUGCUGUUCUUGAUUAUAAUGUUGGGAGAAUGUCUGGUUGUAUACCUAGGAGUGUUACAUGCUAAUCAUCCCCAAGUUACACAUGUAACUAUGAAUGCUUUGCUUGUUUUAGUUUUAUCUGGUGUGGAUCAAUCAUUUGUUGUCUGGGCAUCCACUAUCUGUUAAACUGACUAACAUAGUGAUUUAGAACACAUUGUCCAAUGAAUCAGAUGAAGAAAUGGGAGAAAUCGAGGCAUGAAAAAGGAGAGACAAUUCAGAAGAACGUGGGAAGGAGUAUAAUAAACUACAUUCCAAUAAUCAUUGAUAGCUUCAAGACUACUCAAAAAUGAGAAAGAAAUCUCUAUUUAUAGUGGCCAAACCCUAGAUAGACUGGGAAAUUGAUCUGUGCUUAAGAAAAGAAAUAUACUUGUAGAAAGUAAUAUAACACUCACUCAAAUAAGAAAAUUAUUAUAGGUAGGCUAAAUAUUACCAAAACAUUUAACUGAUCUUGACUUAAAUAAGCAAGAAUCUAUUAAUCUUCCUAAGAUCCUAAAUAGAGAUUUCUUGGUCUGUAUCACUUGAACAGUUGACCUAAAUUAAUUUGUGCUGUGCUUUGGUUAAGUUAGUUCAAUUUACAUUGUUGUCUCUUGUUGAUCUUGCCUGCAUAACAAGUAACUGCCCCGAAGCAUCAAUUUUAUAAAGCUGACUCAUGACCUGAAAUUUGAUUUUGCAGUGAUGUGUUGGAUGCCACCAAUUUACUAUUAUUGUUUAGUCGAUGAAUUGGCAAGAAAUCCUGUUUGAUGCGAGACAUACACCAUUGUUUCCUUGUGGUCCCAUGGGUAUGUUUCACUUGUGCAGGAAUAGGAGUUACAUGGAGAGGUUGGCGUGUGUUAAUUACAUGGUUUAAACUUGUAUUUUUGAAAAGGAUUUAUCAGUUUCAGUAACCACACCAGUGCAUUUGUAUCAUGCCCUUAAUAUAUAAGAAAUAUUAAAUUUAAAUUUAGUUGGAACUUUCUUGUGUAUAUUUUAUCUGAGACAGAAUGAUGGAAACUGUGCACUGAAUAUGCUAUUUUAAACUAGCUCUUUUCACCUUGUAACUUAAUAAUAUUUUGAGGGUUCAAGUCACAUAUCGAGUUGCCUUUUAUUGCAUGAGUAGGGAUAGCAAUUUGACAUAGGUUUGUGUGGAGUUUGGGUAGCCACUUUGAGGUGAAAAGUCUUGGCUGCUUUUGGUGUACUGCUUUUUUUUCAUUCAUUCUUUGCCACAUGUGUGUUUCAAUCAAUCAUAAUAAUAUGUAAACACACGAAGCAAGCAAUGGAUAAAUGAAGUGCAAUGCUCCAGGUGCACUAAAUGCCUUCUCACUUCGAGGACAUGGCCUGCCUUUCUAAAUAAUCUCACAGUAGGUUCUUUUCUUGUUGACUUGUAAAAACUUGACACAUCUCCGAUGUAAGCCACUCUGAUCUUGCCAUGUCAUGAAAUAAACCCACAACAAAACAUGUUUACUAACCUCAAAUCACAAAAUUACAUGACAAAUUAGGGUGUCGUGCACAGAUGAAGAUAAUAAGAUAAUAAAGUGCGUUUAGUAUUAUUUUUCAAAGGUAGCGCUAUUUGCACUUAAAAAAUUGUAUCGAACACCUAUUUUUUAACUCUAAAAAUUAUAUUGAGCAUUUUUUUAAUUAAUAUUUUUAAGAUUAAAAAAAUAAUAGAGUAAUUUAUUAUUAACUACGAUCUAAUAAUAACAUUAAAUCAAACAUCAUUCCUCUUUCAUUUCUUCAUGUCUAUUCUCCCUCUUAAACAUCAUUAAUCAUCAAACAGAACAAAUUUUCUAUUUGACGGAAUAGAUGAAAAUUUUAAAUGUCAAAUUGUGUAUUUCUGUUUUACAUGCAGUUUAAUAAAUAGCAUACAAAGAACCCAAUGAAAAGCACUGCUGUCCAUUCUAGUGCCUCAUUUUUAUUUAUAAAGUCGGCUGAAUGCAAAUGAAAGUUCAAAAUUAGCAAAGAUACAAUUAGUACUUGAAAGGCUAUUCUUCACUUUUGGGUUUGCAAGAUUCAUAUGGAAUUGUAUUGAUUGGAGGUAAUGGGUUUUAAAUUUUCUAUCUCUGCAUUAAGUAAUUAAGUUAGAUUUUGAUUAGUUAUCAGUUAUGUUUUAAAUUAUUGACGGAGUAGAGUUUUACAGUAGAAAGAAAAUGGCUAAAAGGUUAAAUGAAGGGUAUUUUACCCAUUUUAAUAUGUUGUUUGAGUAAUUUUAAAUUUAAUAAAUGAAUACUAAAAAUAAAGAGUUGUUUAGAGUGCAAAUAAUCUUACCUUUUUUCACAUGGUGUUUUUUUUUUCUUUUAUUUGUUUUAUAAUAUUUGAAUUAUUAGUUUCAGUAAAAUAGAAAAACGAGUUUGGCAACUUCUUAUUCGUAUGAUAUUUCUGAAAAUGAAGAAAAAUAAAAUAGUAAAAAUACGUUCGUAGUAUGUUGGAACAUAUUAUUAUGAAAAUAAUACAUAUGAAUUACGAGUAAUGCUUUUUGCACCCCUUUAUUUUCCUUAUAAAACCUCAUUUUUUAAACUGUAGUUUUAUUGCUAAAAGAAAUUACUGAAAAAGACAAAUACGAAUUUAGUUAAACUAAAAUGUCUUUACAAAAGCCCUAACUAUUUUUAAAUCUUAAUAUGUGAGAGAAAUAAUUUUUUUAUAAAACUAAUAAAAAAUUAUUUUGAAGCAAUGAUUUAAUUAUGAAAAAGUAUAUUUCAUAAUUUAAUUAAUUUAUUUUAGAUGAGAAUAAAAUGUAAUUAAAACUCUAUGGCAAUUUUUUUGUCUUUUUAAUAAUUUCAUAAAAGAAAAAGGUAUAAAUAUAAAAUAUGGGGUUUCAUCAGUGCUAUAGAAGGGAGUUAGAAACUUCACUCAAUGAUUAUAAGGGGGUAAAUUUGAUUUAGGAUGCAUUUGAGAUUGAUGUUAGAUAACUGUAAUUUAAAAAUUACAGCAUUAAAAUGUUUGGUAAAUAUUAACUAUUGUAACUUGAAAUCUAUAUUAAUAUAGUUUUUUACUUGUAUCAUGAAAAAUUUAUUAUAUUUUUAAUAUUUUUGUUAAAAUUAUUAUUGAAAAUUUAUAGUUACUAUAAAUUAUUAAUUUUUAUUUCAUAGUUAUAACUUUUUUUACAACAACUAUAGCUUAAAAAGUGCCACACUUCCGGCCAAUACUUUAAUGUUUUGUUUACUUUUUGGAGUGGGAGUGAGGAUUAUAAAUUUCUCACACUCCAGUGUUUACUUAUAAAUUUUAAAAAAAGUAAGAAUCUCACUCUGUGGGUCCCAUCUAAUUUUAGAGUAAGGACUAAGGAGUGGGAAUCCCAUUCCUAGGGGGGGAGUGGGAGUGGAAAUCCACUCUUCCCUUCUCUUAUUACUANNNNNNNNNNNNNNNNNNNNNNNNNNNNNNNNNNNNNNNNNNNNNNNNNNNNNNNNNNNNNNNNNNNNNNNNNNNNNNNNNNNNNNNNNNNNNNNNNNNNNNNNNNNNNNNNNNNNNNNNNNNNNNNNNNNNNNNNNNNNNNNNNNNNNNNNNNNNNNNNNNNNNNNNNNNNNNNNNNNNNNNNNNNNNNNNNNNNNNNNNNNNNNNNNNNNNNNNNNNNNNNNNNNNNNNNAUGUACGGUACAGCAGUUUUAUUUAAUAUUAGUAAUUAAUAAUAAUAAAUAAUUUAUUCUAAGAAAAUAUUAAUUUUGUAUUAUAUUAUUAAUAAUGUUUCAUUUGUGUUGUUCUUAUUAAUAAUUUUUUAUUUACAUAAUUAAAAUUAAGAGUAGUAAGAAAUUAUAAUUUACAUAAUUAAUAAUAUUAUAAAUUAUUAUUAAUUUAUAAAUAUAAUAAAAUAAAUAUUUUAUUUUUUAAAUAUAUAUUUUAUUAAUUUUAUAAUUAAAAACUAUAAUUCUUUAAAUAAAGAUAAAACUAUAAUUUAAAACCAUUUACUCUCAAUUCAAAACUAUAUAAACACAUAAAUUAAAUUAUUAUUUUAAUUUUUCAAUAUAAAUAAAUAAUCUAAUCCCACUUCAUACUCAAGAUUCCCGUUACAAUUCAAAAUGUAAUCGCCGCUUAAUUGCAGUGCAGUUUGCAAAUAAAAAUAAUAUUAGUUUAAUUUUCAAUUUCAAAUAUGUGGGACCCAGUAUGUAAUCUUAGCAGAUGUCUAUCCUCAAUCGCCUCCAUCGUUCUCUUCUCUCUUCCGAUGUUCUUAAUAUUCCCUUCCGACUCGUACCCUCCGACUCGUCCGAAUCCACCUCAAUUACAUCCGAGUCAAAUCGUUUACUAAACUCACGCUGGACCUCUCUUCCUCUCUAACGAUCAAGGUCCACAACAUAGACUUCGUCUCGUUGACCUACGAUUUGCUCGACGUUUCGAUGGGUUACAGAGAGAAGAGCUAGGGUUGGUUAGGUCCCCCGGAAGUAGAGUGAGAGCCAGAGGCAGCUCGUGUGUUGAUGCCACGCUGGAACUUGAUGGCCUUGAGGUUAUUCACGAUGUUCUUACUUGAUUGAGGAUUUGACUGAGGGAGUCAUUCCCUUUGAUACUGUUACUAUGGUCAAUGGCGAACUCCGACUUCUGUUCCUUGAAAUUCCUCUGAUUUUUUUUCGCAUUAUGUGUGAAUUGUGAUUUCAAUUAUAAUUGAUUUAGAAGCAAACAAUUCGGAGAUAAUUAGGAAUAUUUAUGUUUUUUUAACUGCUUCAGUCAAAAUUAUCCUUUGAAGUGUAUGUAAAUACAAGCAACCAAACGAUUGUCUGUCAAAAUUGUUACCCUUAUGUGAUAAAACAUUCUUCUUUUAUAUAGCUGAAUAGUAUUUUUAUUUAAAUAGCGAUGCAACUGCUUUCAAGUUGAGAGAGUUCUUGGACAUCUUCAUUGCACCAAAAUCAUCUUGAUCAUUGUUCCUCUGUUUAAAUUUUGAUGUGCCACAACAACAAUCCAUUUUUAAUGUGCUUCUUGAUUAUAAUGGUGGAAGAUGUCUGGUUGUGUACCUAGGAGUGUUACUAAUCAUUCCUGGCAUAUAACUAUGGAUUGUUUUGCUUGUUUUGGCUUAUCUGGUGUGUCGUCUGGUGCAUGCGCUAUCUGUUAACAUAGUGAUUUAGGAGGCAUUGUCCAAUGAACAACAGGAAGAAAUGGGAGAAAUCCAGAUAUGAAAUAGGAGAGAUAAAAUUCUGAAGAAAGUGAGAGGGAAUGUCAUAAACUACAUUCCAAUAAUCAUUGGUAGCAUCAAGAUUACUCAAAAAUGAAAAGAAAGCUCUAUUUAUAGUAGCCAUCCCCUAGAUAAAAUGGGAAAUUUAAAUCUGCUUAGGAAAAGAAAUAUACUCGUAGUAAGCAUAUAGCACUUUCCCAAACAAGAAAAUCAUUAUAGGUGGGCUAAAUAUUACUUAAACAUUUAACCAAUCUCAACUUAAAUAAGCAAUAAUCUUAAUUCAUAAGAUCCUAAAUAGAGAUUUCUUGUUCUGUAUCACAUGGACAGCUGACCUAACUUAAUUUGUGUAUGCUUUGGUUAAAGUAGUUCAAUGUACUUUUUGGUCUCUCAUUGGUCUUGUCUGCAUGACAAAUAACUGCCCUGAAGCGUCAAUUAUUUACAGCUGACCCAUUUCCUGGGAUUUGAUUUUUCAGUGAUUCAUUGAAUGCCACCAAUGUCGAUGAUUGGCUGCAGGAAUUCGUGUUUGAUUGGAGACAUGCAACAUUGUUUCUUUGUGGUCCCUUGGGUGAAUUAACUUGUUCAGGAGUAGGAGUUACAUAAAGAGGUUGGUGUGUGCUAUCUACAUGGUUUAAACUUGUAAUUUUUAAAAGGAUUUACAUUUGUUUUGAGUACCACACCAGUAUAGUUAAGAACUUUCUUGUAUAUAUUUAUCUGAGAGAGAAUGAUUGAAACUGUGCAAAGAUUGCGCUAAUUUUAAUUGUGCUAGAGGAAUGGGCUCUUUUAUCCUUGUAGCUUCAGAAUAUUUAAAGAUAGAACUGUUAUCUUUUGCAACUUCAGUGACAUGCCUUGAGUUAAUCUUGCAAUAGAUUUGGUGCUCUAGUAGCCCAGGACUCUACAGAGUUGCCUUUGAUUACACAAGCAAGGAGGCUUGUGGAGUUCUUGGUCCUAGAGUCCUUUUGCAUAAAAAGUGAUUAUUUGUGGGAGUAGAUUUAUGAGCCAAUUCUCAGGAAAUCUCUGGGUUAGACUACAAAGUAUAUGUAUUCAGACUCCUGACAGAUUAUAUAGAGGAUCUGGCUAUGUUGCAACAGUUGUCCUGUACCCCAAUUUUUGUCUUUUAUAGUUUAACUACUGUCAAAUUUACUUGAGCACCCUGCACUCUUUUCAUUUACAAUUUGUUUGUCUUAAAAGGACAAAAUUACCCUUCCUGCAAAUAUUUCUGAACAAAAGAAAUAGAUAAGGUGCAGAGUUUAGGUAUUUUUGGUGUUACGAAAAGCCGUGGCAACAAUGAACUUUGCCUUCUUCUCCUCCUCUUCUCAUUUGAAAUUGUUUAUAGCCUUGAUACCAAAUUUACAAGCGUACGGCUUGCUGCUCUGGGCAGUGGGCAGACAUCAUGCGUAUGAACCUUAGCAUUGUGAUCUCUUGGUGAAAUAUAUAAACUUUGAUGCUUAUCAUAGCAUAUCUAGGACUAGCUCGAGCUUUAAUCCUGUGAUUAAUUAAGAAGUAUGCUCAUGAUAUAUGGACCCAUGCUUAUCCUCCGAUUAAGAAGUAUACUCAGCAAAAAAGAAAACUAUUGUACAUUUUUCCUUUGAUGAUUUGGGGAAGGUGUGUUUCCAAGGAAGAGUGUAAAAUUAGCAAAUGAUAUUGGAAUGGAUAAUUCAAGAAUAGAAAAUGGGGAAACUCUGAAGUAGAUUUUAUUUUCUUCUCUUUAGCAUAUUUUACUGAUUUUAAUUUUUUGUUUUUUUUCCAUGGAUGGCAUAACCUUGCAUUUCAUUUUAAUGACUGUGAUUUGCUUAAAAAAAAAAUCUGCUAAUAAUAAAUAAGAAAGAAAUAAAAAGUGUAAAUCUUUUUUUCAUGUGCUAUUUUUGUUAUACUCUAGCACCAGCAUUGACUCUGAAUACACUUGCCUUUUCAUGGACAGCCAGUGCCAUUACGAAUUUCAUAAUCAACUUUUUUUUUUGGUCUAAUUUGUAUUAUAUAGACUGUUUGCAUAAUGAGUUAUGAGUGCGUGGCUUAAAUCAUGUGAUUGAUGGAACUUUUUUUGUCACUCAUGCACUUUCUUGUGUGCUCAGCAUCUAAGGUAGGGAUGGCAAUGGGGAGAGGAGGGGAGGGGACUAAUCUCUCCGUAUCUAUCUCCGAUAUUUUGCGUAUGUUCCCGUCCCCUUCCCGUCCCCGUUAAAAUUAUUUAAGAGAAUCCUCAUCCCCUUCCCGAAUAAUAACAGGGGAUCCCUGAAGGUCCCCGAUCCCCGAAUAACUAAUACAUUUUUUUAUUUUUGAUUUUGAGUUAAUCAUAUUAAAAUAAAAAAUUCAAAUAAAAGUAAAGUUCGAAAUAUAUCUUACAUUAAUAUCCAUUACAAAAGUCACAUACAUUAAAUUAGUAAGUAACGCAGCAUGCAAGGAAUACAAACUAUCAUGAACAAAUUAAUAGCCUAAUACAAAAUUGUUACAAAUAAAAUCAAAUUUAGAUUCAAAAUUAACUUUUCAAUGGUGGUGUGGGCACUUUAUAAAUUUGGAUUAUUCACUUUACAGCACAAUAGUUAAGUCGUAGCAAAUCAAUAGCAAAUAUUAGAUUAGAUUAGAUAUUAAAAUUGUGAUUUGUUGUGGGCAACUAUAACAUCUAAAAAUAAAUAAAAAAUAGACUUAAGUUUAAAAUAUUUCAUGAAUAUUAAAAUUAAAACAAAAGUUUUAACCUAAUAGAAUCUAUCCGGUCUUUUUAAUGUCCUAAAUAAAAAUUUAGGACUUUAAUUAGUUAAUUAGGCCUAAAAGUUUAAUAAUAUAAAUAUUUUGAUAUUUUUUUAUUUUUACCAAUACUUAUAAUUUUAUAAUUCAAACUUUAUUAUUUUUUUACUAGUAAUUUUAAAAAAUAAAAAUUAAAAUGGGGAAAUGGGUAGGGGAUGGGGAUUCCACCUCAUCCCCGUCCCUUCCUCGAAUAAGAAAUUGGGUAAAAAAAUUUCUCCAUCCCUUCCCCGAAUAAGAAAUUAGGUAUAAAAUUAUCCUCAUACCCUCUCCGAAUGAAAAAAAUCCCCGAGAGUACCCGUGCCCGUGGGGAUUUUUGUCAUCCCUAAUCUAAGGUACAUCCCUUGCGCCUUGACUAUUUCUGCUCCUUUGGUCAGGUUAUUGCUUUAGCUAACGGGAAAGAAGAAAACGAGUGAUGAAUCAGGCCAGUGAGCUGAUGAAUCUGGCCAGAGAGUGACAAAUCUGUCCGGUGAGGCGGUGACUGAUGCACGAGAGAGAGGGAGUGCCGAUGACGCGAUGAAAGCAGGGGAGGGAGAUGUGAUGGAAGCUUCUGGUUUAUGCGAGAGAGAGAGUGUGUUUAGGUUUUUAGGGAAUUUUUUGUUUUUUUUUAAUUUUUCGCUAUUUUUAUUUUUAUAUGAAGUAAGGGUAUUUUUUAAAUAAUAAAAAAUUUAUGGGAGUAGAAUGGGAAAUCCCAGAGAGUCUGAUUCCCAAGUGAGUUCUCAUUCUUGAUUCCCGAAUUAUUGUGGGGUUCACAAAAAUGAUUCCCAUUCCCCUCCUUAUUUUACUAAGUAAAUGCAGGAAUCAUUCCAAUUUCAAAUUUCCAUUCCUGAAUUCGGCAAGUAAACGCAGCUUAAUACUUAUAAAAAUAAUAAAUAAAAAGAGAGUAAUGUGUUAACCAGAAUCUUUAGUAGUGUAUGUAAGUAGAAAAUAUCACAAUAUUUCUUAAUAUUUUAUAAACAAAAGGAGUUUAAAGUGAUUGGUGAAAUUUAACAUUAGUUAAAUCAUAAAGUACAAAGAUGGGAACGUUACCAGUUGUUGCAACGUAGAUGAACCCAUAUAUACAUAUAAAUCGUAAUAAAUUCAAAAUUAAAAAAGGACAAAUGAAAAGAAAAAAGAAGCCGGAGAGAUGUCCAUUGAAUAGCAAGCCUAUCCUGAAGGAUGGAUUUGUGCUUUGAAUAGUUGCGUGCCUGGUCAACAUCUUAGAAAAGUCUCGUCUGAUUGAGGCUUUCAUAAUUGGCCAAAUGGACCGAGAACUCCGGUGCCGGUGGUCAUAUUGAUGCAAAUGUGCAAUUACAAAUUGUGAGGCCGCUGAAUGAGCCCAUUCGAAGAGAGAAAAAUGAAGAGAUUGAUGGAUGCCUGCCGAGAGUGUCACUUUUCAAGCCUGUGGGCCAUUUCCAAUAUUAUUGUUGAAGCUUCUACCCUCCAGCGCAGAAGAAUUCUCUGAUCACUCACAUUCACACCUGCUCAUCAAUCAAACAAUGCAAAUCUUUACCAUAAAAAUGAAUUUGGACAAGGACCCAACACUCAGCUGGCUUCCGUUAUUAAAUUUGUCUAGGUAUAGACAAAUUGUGGACAUUUCUGGCGUUUGUAAAAAUUUGUGUGAAGGAACUCGGUUGAAUAUUGAAAGUGGAUGUUAUUUUUCUUGUUCUUCGUCCUUUAUAGAAUCGUGAUUAUGUAAAAGGAAGACAUAAGGAGAAGGAAAGAAGCUCAACGAUAUUAUUCACAUUAACUAGCUUGAGACCAAGACUUCAAGAGUGAUUAAUAUUAAAAAAGCUGAGUUACUGCGUCGAGCAUAUCAAAUACAUGUAUUUCUUUAUUUCAUUUAUACACUUAACAUGAUAAUCAGAUAAAACCUACAGCUAAUUACAGACUGGAGUUGACUCAACUUUUGUUAUACGACCACGCCACACAUACUGGGCAUGGUGGUGCCUGCAACGAAAGGAACCCGGGUGCGUCGUCGGUGAACAAACGCACUGCUUUAUCAAGCCACCGCCGCUGCCACCAUCACCACCAGCAGCCUCUCCACCCACUUCUUCAUUUGCUCCCUGCACCGGAACCCUUGAGACAAACCAUCUGCCUUGAACCAGCACCAAGUCUGUACGGCUAACCAGACUUACGCCUGUUGGGUAACACAUUUUCCUUUUGUGCUUUCACGCCCUCUUCUAAAGUCUAUGUUAUUUUGUGUUGUCGAAUGUGCAGCCUGAAAAGAGAAGAAAAGAAAAGAAUCUGCGUGCUUUAAGAGAGAUUAUUAUGCAAAAGAAAAGAAAGGAAGAAUGAAAGAGAGGUGGCCAAGCAAAGUUUUUAUUUUAUUUAUAUACGUUUUUGGGAUACAGAUAUAUGUAAAAAGCUUUUAGGUUGAUUCGCAUAAAACAUUUUGCUUUUUCCAAAGCUCCCAAUUAGGCGUUUUGCGCAUAUGUUCUCUCAGGUGAUGAUACUUCUCUGAAAACGAGGUUCUCAUGCGUACACGUGUCCAAACCAUUGUCUAUCAGAAGAUUAGACAGCCGUGGAUAGAUAGACACAACCGCACAGGACAUACUAGUGCCGCGUGUGGAGGAUCUCUAACGUGGCAUUAUGUGAGUGGAGUGGGCACAGUGGUAAAUAGAGCAGCACCAUGUAUGCUUGAGUAAGUAACGCUGAAGUUAAUUCAGUGUGUGCGGAUGCUUUCACUUUGCACGGGGACGAAUGGUUGCUACUUGCUUGCUUGCUGGUUUUAGGACUUUUCUUUGAUAUAACGUUAAAAAUUGAGUUUGUUGAGAUUUACGCAAUUCGUGUUUUGAAGUUUGAGGGGUUGGGCGUAAAAGGAAAAAGGAAAAAAAAGACAAGCCAAAGCUGAUGCCACUCCAGGUCAGAUUCUUAACAAAAGUUUAGUUCAUUUUUGGAUGGUAGCAAAAAGCAAAAGCCAUGACUGGGCCUAAAUUGCCGAUGCUUAUUCAUUCGCGAUCGCAUUCAUAUUAGUACCACAAACAAGAAAAGCAAAAAGAAUAUUCUGAUAGGUGGAGAAUUGGUUUCGUUCAGACUCUUUUGUCUUUUGAUUGCUAUUGAAGUGAAUUAUAACUAUAAAAAUAAAAAUUAAUAAUGUAUAAUGAGUAUGAUUUUUAAAUUAUAAUUUUAAUAAAAAUAAUAAAUAUAUUAUAAGUUUUCUAUUAUACAAAUGAUAGACCAAAUUAAUUUAAUUAAUAAAUAACAACAGUUAUUGUUUAUCAAAAUAUUUUAAUAUAGUAAUUUUUACGUUAAAUUUGCACAACCUCAAUGCUAAAGAAUAUCCUAGUAUUUUUCUGAUAAAUGAGAAACAUUUACUACGGUAGUAGUACCUAUCCGUUUUCAAUUAUGUGGUUUAAGAAAAUAAGUUGCACACUUAUUGAUGCCUAUAACUAGAAGAAUGGUUUUUAGGGGUAGGCAAAAAAACCAUAGUCUUAAAAAAAUCGAACCGAACCGACGGUUUUUUCUAAUUCGGUUCGGUUUUUAUUUUUAAAAAAACCAAAAUAUACUGUUUGUAAAAAAAAUCGAAAUGUCGGUUCAGUAUUCGGUUCACUUAACUGAAUCAAAAAACCGAAUUAUUUUUUUAUUUUAUUCAAAUCAAACAUGUGUUAUUUCUUUUUAUAACAUUAUGAUUAUGUUUAUAUAGAUGGAGUAUUGGAGUUUGGUUAUAUAUUUUAAAAUUUUAAUAUUUCAUAUUUUGGGAGUAUCUUAUUAAUAGUUAGUAAGAUAUUAGUGAUAAAAUGUGUUUUAAAUACUUUAUAUUUAUUGUUAGUAUUUGUAAUAAAAUUAGGAUAAAUUAAUUGUUGAAAAAAAUUAUUACAUUCAUGAGGCCCAAUGGGCUAAAAAUUUAAAAAUUCAAAAUAGGCUCAAUAGGUUCAGAACCGAAAAAACCGAACUGAAAAAAACCGAACUGAAACGAACCGAUCCGAAAAGAACUGUUUGAGUUCGGUUCUUAUUUGGUUCUUUUUAUAAAAUAACCGAUUUAAAUCGGUUCUACUUAAUUUCAAACCGAACCGUGCCCACCCCUAAUGGUUUCUCCAAGUGUGCAACUUAUUUUGGGCCAAUAUGAAUUUUUAUAAGUUGCACACUUAUUUUGGGCCAAUAUAGAAAAUGAGUUUCAAAUUAAGAUUGUGGAGGUGGGAGUUCAAUCCGCUUACAUGUCCAAUUGGCAGUGGUGGGUAGGACAGGUGUUGAUGUGGUAUGGGCUCAUGUUGUAUUAAAAUUAAAAUUAAAUGGACUUGAUUAUCUCGCAAAAGGUUGCUUUCGUCAUGCGAUGUGUGAGUUCGGGUUGGGCUGACUAGAGUUUAUGAAGUGGAUCUUGAGCAAGAGAAGGCUUUUCACCGAUCAGAGAGUGACGUAAGGCUUUACGGUGUUACCAGUGUAACGGACUUGGGUCCACACAAAUAUACUUACAACAAGCCCAUACGAGAUCUUGGGCCCACCGUUGAUCAGUAACAAAAAUGUGUUUGUUACUUUUUCCGAAUGAAUUCACACAUUGCGUCAAUAAUACAAAAGAAAUGUUUUUUACAUUUAGAUCAGAAGAAAACUGACUUUUACCGAGCAAAUCGGGCUUGACAAGCAGUAAUCUGUUAGGUUAUGCUGCUGGCUGGCAUCUUUUUAUUUAAUUGUCAUCCUACAAUUAUUAAUUAGGGAAAUUAUCCACCGUACAUCCGUUUUUUUUAAUUUUUUAAAAAAUACAUAAUUUUUUUUUUACUAAAAUCCACUUGAAGUUACAUUUUUUUUUUUCAUUUCCGUUUGAAAUCCGUUAAGGAAAUUAACGGAAUAUUGCUUAAAUGACUUUUUUACCCUCAAAUGUAAAAGAUAAUUUAUUCAUCGACCACUUGUUUUUUGUGUAUUUUUUCAGAAAUACACAAUUCUUAAUUUAUUUUUACUGAUCUCUACUCGAAGUUGUAUUGUUUUACACCUAUCCACCACUGUGUCGUUGUAAAAUGACGAUUUUACUCUUAUGAUGUUAGUAAAGUUAUAACGGUCUCCAAACAGAAGUGGAAAAGUGAAAAAAAAUGUAAUUUCAAGUGGAUUCCAGCAAAAAAAAAAAAGAAUUGUAUAUUUUUAAAAAAUAGUGAAAAAACGGGUGGACGGUGGAUAAUUUCCGUAUUAAUUAUUAGUUACCAAAUAGUCAAAUACCUAAUUGACGUUUAUAUAUAUUGUUUUCCAGAUAAAUCUCCGACUUCAAUUCAAUGGUCCUUCUCAAUGACGUCUCGCUGAGUACAUCUCGAUACAACUCAAUUAUAAUCGGUGUAAUUUUCCCCCUUUUUUUUCCCCUAAUAUUGCCAUAGACGAGGACUUAUUUUGUUAUUCAACUUCAACCAGUCUCUUAGUCGCUGCCACAAGCCCACAAGUGUCUAUGUUAUGAGACCAUUCUAAAGGAGGAAAAAGCCAAAGUCAAAGAGCCAUCAUUUUUUAACCAACAAAUUUUGAAAUGUAUUGUUGCAAAUCUACCGUUGACAAGGAUAGAAAAUUCAAACACUCCAUACGAUAAAUUAACUGACAAUAUUAUUUUCCGUAACUCCACGAUCAAUAAUUAAGAAUUUAUAUCUCCCUCAACAUAUAAAAGUCGAUAACUUGAGACAUAAUCUCCAUCUAAAUAAAUAAUAAUUAUAGUUACUCUAUAAUAAAAUAAUUAAAUAUAAGCGUAAGCGUUUACGUAAUAAAACAACAUCAAUUUUGUUAGCCAAUCAUGUGAUAAAAGAAAAACGAAAAUAAAAGGAAACAACAGCUGACCAAGCAAAGUAUCAUUGUAUUAUUUGUAUACAAUUUCUUUCUCCUUCACACUGAUUUGUCUCUAGAAGUUAAUUAUUAUUUGUUUUUGGUCGUCAAAAUAUAAAAACAAUAUAGAAGGCAACGUGGCGGAGUAUAAGUGGAGGAGGGAGGGACCGAGGAGUCCGAGCCAGUUCCGUGUCCUACAGUCCUAGUCCUCCUCGAUGAGCCGCCAACCGAAUCGAGUCAAAUAAAUCUCGCGUUUACCACGCGUUGCUUUGAAGUUUAGAUUCCACACUCCCAAUAUAUUUGCCACGCCUUUGCACUUUCUUGAAAUUUCCAGGAAACUGCAAGUGCAAUUUGAUUGCUUACAAAUCUUCUCGUAUAAAUAAAAUAUCACAACGCCUCUCGCCGAUCGAAAAGCACUCAUCAAAGACAGAGUUGUUACAGGGUAUCACUCGGCGAGGGAAAAUAUGAUGAACUCGAUGAGAUUAUACGCUCUCCCAGUAAUUGGAUUCAUGUUCAUGGCGAUACUGCAACUGGGUAAUGCUCAAAACAUGGCUCCUUCACCGGCUCCGGCUCCGUCUAGCGAUGGUUAGUACUCGUAUAGUCAGUCACAUACACAAAUCAAUCAACCAUAUUAAUCUUUUUUUUUUUGGGUUAAAAGUGAAAAAUAAAAUUUAAUUGAAGUGGAUUGGGUUUGAUCUGCAGGAACAGCGAUCGAUCAGGGGAUUGCAUACAUCCUUAUGGUGCUGGCGCUGGCAAUUACAUACCUGGUGCAUUGAUUUUGAUUCUUUUUCAACUGAUUCUUUUAUGUAUGUAGUUUUUCUCCACAAUCAUUUCACUUGGAGAGAAAGUCACUGCAUUAUUUGUUAUUCUUUGCCCUGUAGCCUUGCCCUAUAUAUGUAAUUAACUGGUUACUGCAAUCUUUCAUUGAAUCCAAAUACUUCUUUUUUUUUCCUCUUACUUGGUGUAUGCGAUUUUGUUCAUGUUUCCGGGUCCGAUCCUGUAUUUUCUGCACGAUUAUGGGUGUUUUCGCAUUUCAAGAUACUAUAUAAAUAAAUAUACGAAACAAAAGCAAAAAAAUUCGAGAUAAUCUUCUUUAUGGCCAAUUGGCCAUUUCAUGAUAUGCAGCAAAAAAAUUCGUAAGUUGAUACGCAGCCACUUGAUGAUAUGAAAAAUAAGAAAAUAACGACCUACUAGUUGGGUUGUGUAGGGUUGGCCGAAUGCCAAUUCCCAAGGCGGAUCGAAUACCUAACCGGUUUGCUGAAGAUAUGGUAUUUGCAGAUAUCUAAAUAUUAGUUAAGUUUUCGUUCCUGUUGUGAAAUUAAUGGCCUCUACCAGUUUAGUAGUUCUAGCUCUAUUAUAGGAGCAAAAGCCAAUUAAUUGAAUUUUUAAUGCUUUAGUGCUAGUAUUAUUAUGAUUAAUGGGACAAAUUUUUAGAGCUAUAAAUAUAGCUUAUAUUGUAGUAAAAAGAAAUGAAAAUGAGAAUGGAUUGGAGAGCAUUCCAUUGGGAAAAUUAAGAUAGUUAUUGAGAAUCUGUACAUUGAAAAAUCAAAGCUUAUGGUAAAUAAUAAUCAAGGAAGCUUCGCUAAAUUCCUUACGAAUUUCAUUUAUAACAAUUCAGGCACAUUGAGUUUUUUUAUUUUUUGAGUUUUGGGUUAGUGGAAUAUUAUACAAUUGUCAUAUUACACAGCAAUGUAAUAAUAUUUUGAGUACAUAAGGAAGUUUUAAGGAAAAUUAUUUUAUUAGUACUUUUAAUUAUAAUUAUUUUUAUAUAUGAUUCAAGAAUUUUAUAUUUUGAUUAAUCAUAAUUUCAAGAGUUUUAUUUUUUUAGAAGUUUAUUUUUUAUUGAAAAUAAGUGUCCUUAAUCAAAAUUUCGGGCGAAAAAUUACUGAAAAUCUUGUGAAAUAGGGUGAGAGCCAAAGUUUUGAUGCAUAAACAAUUAUUUGUUUGUUGCUAUCACAUUGUCUUAUGGAGUUUUUGAAACUUAUAUUAUCUUAUACUUAUUUUGAUUUUAUAAAAUAAAUUUUGAAGGAGAUCUCUUUUGGCAAUGUUAACCGGAUUUUGGUGGAUCCGAUUACAACAAAUAAGAUAGCAUUUUAAAUAAGAAAGGUUGCCAAUCUUGAAAUGUGCUUUUCACAAGACCAAGGAGGAUAGCUAGUUGAGUAUUUGAUGAGGGGCAGUAGGCUCAACCUCUAAGCAAUUUAGGCGGUUGCUUAAGGUCCCGUUUUACAUGAAAGCCCCAUGAGAUAAUUAUUUUAUAUAUAAAAAGAGAAAGUGAAUUUAAAAAUCAUUAUUAUGCAUUUAAUUUAUUAUAUUUUGUAUUUAUCUUUUCCUAAAUAAACUAUCAAAUUCCUAUAAAGUUUAUUUAAUAUAGUACUUAGUAGUUUUAAUUCCUACAAAAUUGAUAAAUUAAUAGUUUCAAUCCUACAAAUUCUCUAUUUCAUUGUUAUAAUUAAUAUGUUAUAAUUUAAAAGUUUUAUAUUCAUUUUAAACUUCUAUAAAAGCCUCACAUUUUAUUAUUUAUCUAUUAAGUUUUUCCUCCAACAAUCAAGACACGAUAUGUUCUUGGUCUUUGAGAGAAAGAAAGAGAGAAAAGGAAAAAAAAUCCUACUUCCUCUACUUUUCCACUUAAAAAGAAAAAGAAAAAAUCUAAUAAUUUUCUCUAUUCUCUAUGGUUAUUGGUAUUUAUUCAAAUGCUCAAACAAUUAAUAUAAAGAUAAAGUUAAUUUAUGAUUUCAUCUCAAAUUACAGAUUUUAUCUUUUUAUUAUUCUCUUAAUUAGUUGUGUUCUUUAUUUGUUCUUAUUUCUUUUUAAUAUAUUCUUUUAUUCAUCUACUUUUUUGUGUGUGCUUAUUUGAUCUAUUUUGAAAUAAAACUAUAUUGAAAAAACUUUAGAAAAUAGAAGAAUAGAAAAAUUAGUUUAAUCUAGAAAAGGAGUAGUAAAAAAAUAUUUAAUUUGAGUUAAAAAAAACAAUAAGUGAAAUUGUUAUAAUUGAAUCAAAAUUUCAUGGAUUAGCAAUAGUAUAAUAUAAUUUUAUUUAAUAAUUUUACAUUUUAGAUUGUUUAAAGAAUUGAUUUUCAAUAAAUAAUAUAUAACUAAUAUAUAUAUUGUCUUAAAUUUUAAGAAGAACUAAUUAAAACCAUUUGUCUAAGACCCCAAAUAUGGUUGAGUUAGCUCUGAUGAGGGAAUGAAGAUGUAAUAAAAACAAGGAAUAAACCACCAAGUUGGGUUUGUGAGAACCUGCAAAAUGGAAGUAAAUCGUGGUUAGAGGUAGAGUCAACAGUGAUUGACAACCAUACUCAAACACUCAAAUUAGAUUUUGAAUAAUAAGAGGCGGUCUUGAGAUAAAAAAUGGAACUUAAAGCUAUUAACAGCGGCAAAUAUGCGGUGAGGAAGAAUAUAAAUGUGUAAUUUCAAUUUUCACCCGACGCGAAUUUGUUUUUUUACCUUUUUUUUCUGUUUAGGAUUUUUUGAUUUGGUUGCAUUUGUGGGUCAAGUGUUAAUGGGUCCAACAAUAUAAGAUUUACACAUUUUUUGUUUUAUUUCACACUUAAUCUGCUGUACGGCCAGGCGGAUGUACGGCACAGCAGGUUGUGUUCUUUAUUUGUUCUUAUUUCUUUUUAAUAUAUUCUUUUAUUCAUCUACUUUUUUGUGUGUGCUUAUUUGAUCUAUUUUGAAAUAAAACUAUAUUGAAAAAACUUUAGAAAAUAGAAGAAUAGAAAAAUUAGUUUAAUCUAGAAAAGGAGUAGUAAAAAAAUAUUUAAUUUGAGUUAAAAAAAACAAUAAGUGAAAUUGUUAUAAUUGAAUCAAAAUUUCAUGGAUUAGCAAUAGUAUAAUAUAAUUUUAUUUAAUAAUUUUACAUUUUAGAUUGUUUAAAGAAUUGAUUUUCAAUAAAUAAUAUAUAACUAAUAUAUAUAUUGUCUUAAAUUUUAAGAAGAACUAAUUAAAACCAUUUGUCUAAGACCCCAAAUAUGGUUGAGUUAGCUCUGAUGAGGGAAUGAAGAUGUAAUAAAAACAAGGAAUAAACCACCAAGUUGGGUUUGUGAGAACCUGCAAAAUGGAAGUAAAUCGUGGUUAGAGGUAGAGUCAACAGUGAUUGACAACCAUACUCAAACACUCAAAUUAGAUUUUGAAUAAUAAGAGGCGGUCUUGAGAUAAAAAAUGGAACUUAAAGCUAUUAACAGCGGCAAAUAUGCGGUGAGGAAGAAUAUAAAUGUGUAAUUUCAAUUUUCACCCGACGCGAAUUUGUUUUUUUACCUUUUUUUUCUGUUUAGGAUUUUUUGAUUUGGUUGCAUUUGUGGGUCAAGUGUUAAUGGGUCCAACAAUAUAAGCUCUGUUAACAGUGAGCUCAACGCAUUCAAUCAAAGUUCUUUGUGGGCUGAUCAAGUCAAUUAAGUCACUAUUUGUGGAUGAAAUUGAGUCAAAUUGUGAAAUACCAAAGAUUAUUAGCCUGUUAGAUGUGAAAGAUUUACAAACGAAAUUGCUUGCAAUGGACUGCGUACUUGAAAUUGGCUAUUUUGGUAAAAUAUGUGUAAUAUAGUUACAGUUCGUAUGAAAAUCACAUGAUAAUCUUUUUUUCAUUCUCCAAUUAUCAUUUGGAAGCAAUUUCAGCCGCUGUUUCAGUUUAGUUUCUGCAUCAUACGGGCUGCCUCGAACUAAAUUACUAAAGUUCGUAUGAAAAUCACGGAUCUGUUUUACUUUCUUUUCUUUCAAAAUGACUUCAGAAGUAACUCUGGGCACAAGCUCAAUGCACCUGUAUAUAUUUCUUUUCCCUUUUCGUGUCAAAUUUAAAACUUUCUUCGCAUUUAGUUAGAUUGUCACGUAAUCUAGCUUUAGUCUUCUAGUCUUCUAGAUCAGAAUAAAUUGUAUGAUUUGGUGUUUUGGUAUCCUGAAUAUUUCAUCAUUUGUUUAAUAUUUUCAUCAUUUGCUGUUUAAUUUGUUUAUUUUCGAAUUAUUAACCCGUCCAAAUUAGUAAUCCGUACCAAAUUAUUAACCCAAACCAUAUUGCAACCCGAAAUCAACAAUCUGAACUCGAACUGAAUUAAAAACCUAAGUCAAAUCAAACGAAAUGUGGAAUCGAACCAAACCAAAAUAAUUUUCUAACUGUUUGGGUUGAAUUUUUAAACCUGAAUGGGUCACCAACCGAACCGAAAUUGAAACAUCCCCCCUCCUAUGAUUUCCAUUUACACGGAUAGUAGUGGUGAAUUUCAAGCUCUAAAAUCCUUCCUUAACAUGGUAUCUCUCACUUCCUCAAUCCACCACACACACCCGAACACAAUGGCUCUACUGAGCAUCGUCAUCGAGAUCUUGAAACAAGAAUCACUUUUUUAGAUCAAGUCUUAAAUCUUUCUCACAGCUAUCUAUCUUAUUAAUAGUACGCCCACUUCGCUGCUCCAAUUAAUUUCAAAGUUAGAAAAAUUAUUUGAUCAUUCACCUAAUUACACAAAAUUACGUGUGUUUGGGUGCUUUUUUUUUUUUUUGGUCUAUGGCUCAAACUUUACACUAAUUAUAAAUUCGAACCAAAAUCUAAGCCUAAUGUUUUCUUAGGUUACUCUUCCACACAAAGUGCCUUUAAAUGCCUUGACCCUACAAUCAAAAGACUUUAUAUUUUUGGACAUGUACUAUUUGUUGAGAAUGUAUUUCGUUAAAAGUUCUAUUGACCAAAACUUGCCCAGAAUAUGUCUAGAUAAUUUUUACAUAUGGGAUUAUGGGUCCCUUCACUUAAUUCACUAUCACAUAUUUCUAUUCCCACUCAAAGUCAAACUCUCCAUACCGAAAAUCACUCCUUAAAUAAGCCAAAUAUUCCUCCUUCCAUUUACAUUUUAUACUCCUGCACAUCACCAACCACACUUAAAUUCCUCUUAACUUCACAGAAAAUCACUCCUCCCCAACUCAACCAAAUACAUCUCCACCAAACACAACCCAAAAUCACGUGUCUCUCACUACAAGUGUUUCCGAAGAAUCCUGCCCUUCUGUUAUGUUGCAUGAGCUAGCCAUUUGCACAUCUUUGACCCCACAAGAUGCCUUUGACAGUGAGACUUCCUCAUCUCAAAAGAAAACCUCCACAUCCCUAUCUCCUUUUAAUACCUCAAGCCGCCUUCAACAACACCAAUAAAACCCCUCGUACCAUCACCCGUGCCCAAAAUAACAUCUUUAGAUCAAAUCCCCGAUUUUUUGUCUCCAGCUGACAUUUACCUCCAGCCACUAUUAAGCCUACAUCUGUCUCACAAGCAUUAAAAUAACCAUAAUGGAGAACAGUCGUGUCUGAGGAGUUUGAUGCUCUUAUUCGUAAUGGUACGUGGGAGCUCACUCCAUCUUUUCUCUUCCAUCUCAAAAUAUUGUGGGCUGUAAAUGGGUGUUUCGAAUUAAACGAAAUGCUGAUGGUUCUAUAAAUUGGUAAAAGGCUCGGCUUGUGGCUUAAGGAUUCCAUCAGAGGCCCUGGCUUGACUACACUGAAAUAUUUAGCUCUGUAAUCAAGCCUACUACCGUUUGCCUUAUACUAUGUUUGGCAUUAUCACAAGGAUGAUCUUUGCGACAACUUAAUGAGGUAUUUAUGUCUCAACCACCUGUUUUUAUUGAUCCCACAUAUCCUACUUAUGUUUGCAACUUAGAAAAGCACUCUACGCUAGCCCCACAUGCCGGGUACACUAAGCUUCGGAACUUUCUUCUAUCGAUGGGAUUUUUCAAUUCAUUAUCAGACCCUUCUUUAUUUACCUACUCUCAUGCGGGUGUUGCUUAUUUAUUGGUAUAUGGUGAUAAUUUAGUCCUCAUUGGCAAUAACAAUUCUAAUGAUGGAAUUCAUCUUGCAUAUGUGUUGGUUUUUUAUAUUGAAGAAGAUGCAGUUGGACUUGUGGUUUGAUUGAUUAGAUUUUGUUGAACUACUAAAAAAUCUGCAACGUUUUACAUACGAGUAAUUUUAGAGUAUAAGCUUCACUGGUUGAUAUAGCCAUCCAAUGUUUGUUAUCGUGAGGGUUUGCCUAAUCCAGAUUAAAUCAAGCUAUCAAUUUUCUUGAUGUUGUAAAACUCCCAUUGUACUCACUGCUAACAUCAUGUGAUCGAAUACACGUAUUCGUUUGAAAUUUUGCUUGAAGAUUCUUAUGUCUUGACCAUCUGCCAAAAUAAGUGAGUUUUCUUUAUUCGAUUUACGAGUGCGUGUCGUGUUUUUUUUUUCAUAUCCAUGGAACAAGUUUAUGAUUUAGUAAUUACUAUUGGGUUUUUUCCUUGUUUCUUCUUCCAUCAUGUUUUUAAUCUUUUUUUACUAAGUGAAAUUGUAGGUUAUUGAUUUUUCUUUCGGUGAGGAGAUUAAGGUUAGAGCGGUUCAUCUUUGCAUGGGAAAAGAAUGCAAGAUUUGGAAGGUGGAAUUCAUCGAUAAAAGAGGCUCAAUAAAAGCCAGGAGAAUCCUCUAUCUUUUGCUCCAAUCGCCCAGCAUCAUGCUAGAAGAGGUAAUAGCUCUAGAGCCUACUGUUAGGAUGUCCUAACAAGAAAUCCAGUUAAAGACAGUUUUUGUUUGUCCAAAUUCAGGUGCAAGUGGUAGACGCAGAGGUAGAGGUUGUAAAAUGGUGAAUCAAGAGAAUGCCAAGACUUCUGUUGCUGGGCUUCGCGUCAGGGUUGGCACAGGUUUGGACUUGCCAGUGAAAUAGGUAGGUGAGAAAAGGGCUGAAAAAUUAUUGGCUGUUGAGGAGGAAGGAAGUGCAAGUCCACUUCCUAGGAAGGUACUACUUUUUCAUCGUGAACACUUGUAGUAAAAUUAGUAGAUAUAAAAACAGACAACUUUUAUUACAUUUUCUAAUGUGAAAAUCACAUUGCUCUUGACCUGAAUUGAUAUUUUUCUUUUUUAUCGUCCAUUGACUUUAUAGUUGCUUCUUUCUUAAACCUUGUUAACUUUCAUGGAAACUUAAAAAAAAAAAAUCAUGGAAAGCUGUUGGCUAUAGUUAGAUUUUAAAUAAAUUCUUCUCAACCAUGACAAGCAGUCAAAUGAAUUUGUUUUUUGGUUGUUUAUGGAAAAAUAAGCCAAGAAUUUUUAAGAUAAAGUCAAGUUUUAAAAUGAUUAAGCUUUAUACGUUGUUUUUACCCAAAACGUUUCUGCUUGUUAUAAUGCGUUGUUAGCUUUAGCAGCCUAUGUCAUGUCUUUCUAGUUCAUGCAUUAGAGGCAAUACUUGGAAGUAGUUUAUUUUUAAUUUAUUAUGCAUUUCCUCUUCAGAUAUAGCUUGGGAACUCCCCUUUGUAUAAGGUAGAGAAAAAACUGGAAAAAUGGGGUUUUGGACAAGUGUAUGUUGGAAGAAGGAUGACCGGUAGCAUAGGGCGCCAUGGGCCUGAUGCCUUAGAGGUUUAAUUUCUUGUGCAAUUCUGGUAAACCAUGCAGAAUUAUUAGGAAGUGGAUUUUUUUUGUUAUGUUUUGUUAAUGUUAUUCUCCUGUUAUGUUUGUAGGUUGCUAUGAAGUUUGAGUGUCGAAAUAAUAAAGGGUGCAACUUAAGCCCUCCUUACAAGUAGUAAGUAUGGGUGUGUUUGGAAGUGAGGUGAUGUACCUUUUAAGCUGCAACUGCUGUGGAGUAAAAAUUACAGUUGUGGAAUAGAAGUUAGGAAAAAAAUUUGUUAAGCUAUCAAAGCCCAACUACAAGUGUUACCAAACACCUUAGUUCCCAAACGAGCUAUACAUAGGUAGGCGAGUUUGAUUCUUCUGCUGUUUUAACUCAACUUUUAUGUCCUAACCAAUCUUUCUGUCUCAAAAUUAUUGUUCAGCACUCUUAAUGGUUGUUAUGGGCUUCCUUUGGUUCAUUACAAAGGCCAGCAAAGAAACUACUAUAUCCUUAUAGGUUUCACCCUUUGCAUCUUUUAUAUUUCCUGUUUACGUAGAAGGUUAUUUUUACCUUUUGGUUAUAGAUAUUAGUAAUCUUCUAUGAUUACUAUAGAUUUUACAGAGUGAGGGGGAAAAAUUCUCUUUUUCCAUUCAAUAAAAAAUAGAGAAAACAAAUAACUUAAAUAGGGAAAAAACAGAGGAUUAAUUUUAUACUUAGCAACUGACUUAUAUCAUCCCUAAAUCUUAGGAUUUUAUUCAAAUAUUUAACAAAUAGAUCAUAAUCAAUUAUUUCUAAUCUAUCAACACUCUCCCUCAAGUUGGUGCAAAUGUAUCUGUCAUGCCCAACUUGCUAACUUGAACUUCCAAUGGCUGUCUCAGGCUCUCAGCAAGCCUUUAGUUAAAACAUCUGCAACUUGAUGUGUGGUAGGUACAAAUGGAGUAUAAAUUAUUCCUUCUUCAAGCUUUUCUCAACGUGGCUGCCUUGUUAUCACAAUACAACUUCAUAGGCAAACUCACUAGUCUCUUAAGCACUUUUAGAGCCAUUUUUAGCCAAAGAAUCUCACAUACUCCUUGUGCCAUUGAUCUGAAUUUAGCCUUAGCACUACUUCUAACACCAAUAUUCUACUUCUUGCUUCUCUAAGUGACUAAAUUGCCCUAUAGAAAUGUACAGUACCCUAAAGUUGACAUUCUAUCAGUUACUGUACCUGCCCAAUCAGCAUCAGUAUACACCUCAAUUCCCCUCUUCUCAUUUUUCUUGAAAAAGAGUCUUUUUCCUGGUGCACUUUUCAGAUAACGAAGGAUUCAGUAUAGAGCUUCAAGAUGUUCUUCAUAUGGAGAAUGCAUAAAUUGGCUUACCAUGCUUACAAUGAAAGUAAUGUCUGGACGAGUAUAUGACAAGUAAAUUAGUCUCCCAAUUAGUCUUUGAUAUCUCCCAUUGUCUACUGGAACACCAUAUUUUACUUCCUCAAGUUUAGAGUUGGCUUUUAUUGGAGCGUCAGAAGGUUUGCAACCACUCAUCCCAGUUUCUUUCAAGAGAUCAAGAAUAUAAUUCCGUUGUGAGACAACAAUGCCCUUCUUUGAUGUUGCCACUUCUAUUCUACGAAAGUAUUUUAGUUGGCCUAAAUCUUUAAUCUCAAACUCCUUGGCUAGGUUUUGUUUCAAUAUGCUCAUUUAUACUAUAUCAUCUCCAGUUAAAAUUAUAUCAUCUACAUAGACAAUAAGAACAUAAAUUUUAUUUUCAAUAUAUCUCUUUGUGAAAAGAGUAUGAUCAGAUUGUCCUUGAUCAUAUCCUUGGUUUUUGAACGAAAUUUGUGAACCUCUCAAACCAAGCUCUGGGAGAUUGUUUAAGGCCGUAUAAAUACCUUUUUAGUUUACGUACCUUGGUUCCAAAUUACUCAUUAAAACCAGGUAGAGGCUCUAUAUAGACUUCCUAUUCUAAGUCCUCAUUCAACAAAUCAUUAUUCACAUCCAGUUGAUUUAAAGGCCAAUCAAGAUUAGUUGUAAUAAACAAGAGUACUCAAAUUGUAUUUACCUUUGCCACUGGAGAGAAAGUCUCAGAGUAGUCUACUCUAUAUGUCUGAGUGAACCCUUUGGCUACGAAUCUAGCCUUGUACAUUUCCAAGGAUCCAUCUGAAUUGUACUUCACAGUUAACACCCAUUUAUAGCCGACAAUUGUCUUCCCAUAUGGCAGGUCCACUUUCUCCCAAGUAGCAUUCUUCUUUAGGGCUCUCAUCUCCUCAAGCAUAGCUUCUUUCCACUUAGGAACAUUUAGAGCCUCAUGGACACUUUUAGGAAUAACCACAUUGGACAUUUGUGAAAUAAAAGCACAAUAUGAUGAAGAAAUAUUUUUGUAAAAUAUAAAAUUUGACAAAGGAUGUUUUGCACAAGACCUAACACAUUUUCUAAGAGCAAUGGGAAGAUCAAGCUAACUAGAAGAAUUUGACUCAUAAUUAUCUAGAGGAUUAUUUUAAGGGAUUUCUGAAGAAUCGUCAUGAACUUCAUGAUCCAACCUCUAGUCAGAUUCUUAAUGGUGUUGUAUGAUAGUGACUCUUUUUUGUGCUAGAUGCUCCUUUGAAUAUACAAGACCUUUAAACCGUUUUGCAUACAUCUCAGUUGUCUCAUUAGUUUGAUUUUGCGAUGGAAUUACCAAAGGUUGUUCAGUUGUAGAUGCAAUAUUUUUAACAUUUAGUUCAAUUAUUUCCACAGAUUUUGUGUUUCCCAUCCCAUUUUCUUUCGGUGACUGUUUGCAAGAAACAUCAUCAUCUUGAAAAAACUCAAAAGUUAAAUCAGAAUUAUCUAAAAAAUCAUCUUCACUAGUGCUCUCCCCAUAAAAAUGGAAAUUGUUGUAGUAUGAUUGUCCUUAAAAAAAGUGACAUCCAUAGACAAACAUUUUUUUUCAAAAUCGGAUCAAAACAUUUAUAACCUCUUUGAUUUGUAGGAUAGCCUACAAAAAUACAUUUAUGUGCCUUUGGAUAAAGUUUUGAACAUCUAGUAUCAUGAUUAUGAACAAAGGCCACACUUCCAAAAAUUUUAAAGGGAAUGUCGGUUGUUAGCAUUCACUUAAAACUUUAAUUGGUGUUUUAAAGUCCAAAAUUAUCGUAGGCAGUCUAUUAAUCCAAUAAGUGGCUAUUAGCACUACUUCUCCCCAAAGGUAUUUGAGAACCUUAGUCGUAAAACUAAUAGCUUUAACAACUUCAAGGAGAUGUCUGUUUUUUUCUUUCAGCCUCCCCAUUUUGUUGAGGUGUAUUAUUACAAGAAUUUUAGUGAACAAUCUCUUUUUCAGCAAAAAAAUUCCCUAACACUUUGUUAAAAACUCUUUCCAUUAUCAAAUCGAAAAAUUUUAAUCUGAGUAUGAAAUUGUGUCUGAACCAUAUUAUAAAAAUUUAUAAACACAGUUUCAGCAUCAAAUUUUUCUUUUAAAAGAAAGACCCAAGUGACUCUAGUAUGAUCAUCAAUAAAAAGAAUAAACCAGCGCUUUUUAGAAAAAGUUGGCACUCUAGAAGGACCCCAAACAUCACUAUGAAUCAUCGUAAAUGGUUUUGAUUUUUUAUAUGGUUGAGAUUGGAAAAUAGCCCGAUGACGUUUAGCUAAUUCACAAGAUUCACAUCGAAAACUAUAAGAAUUUUUAUUCAUGAAUAACUUGGGUAACAAAUGCUUUAAAUAUUGAAAAUUUGGAUGUCCUAAUCAAUAAUUCCAUAACAUAAUCUUACUAUCAUUAACAAUAGAGAUAGAAAUGAAACAAGUCUGUAGAUCUUUCCUUUCAUAAGUUGAUCCAUUAUUAAAGAAGUAGAGUCCACCACUCAUUUCAACACCCCCAAUCAUCUUCCCCGAGGUUAAAUCCUGAAAUUUACAACAUUAAGAUUGAAAAAUAACUUGAUAGUUGUGAUCAAAAGUUAAUUUACUGAUAGAUAAAAGAUUAUAAGACAAAUGUGGGACGUGCAAAACAUUCAUAAGAAUUAGAAAAGGAGAAAUAAUAAUUGUUCCUUUUCCAGCAACAGUAGCUAAGAACCAUUUGUAAUUUUAACCUUUUGAUUUCUUCCACAAGGUAUAUAAGAGGAAAAGAGUAGAGAAUUACCAAUCAUAUGAUCAGUAUCACCUGAAUCUAAUAUCUAGGAGCCAUGAGACUUGGUAUAAGCUAGGGCUACAAAGAAAGAAUUACCUGACUGUGCUAAAGAACAAGAUGGGUUAGAUUUUUCUAACGAUUAGGACUGAAACAUUUUAUAUAAAUGCUCUAUUUGUUCCUUGGUAAAAGGAAGAGACUCUGAGCAUGAUUGUUGCCCUGGAUCUGUGCUGCUAGCUUGAAAUGCGCAUACAUCUCCCCCUGACUUAGUGUCAUUGCCUGAUUUUUUCUUUGGUUUCCCGUGCAAUUCCAGCAACUUUCUUGAGUAUGCCACGGCUUUCGACAAUGGUCACACCAGGGCUUCUGCUUUCCCCCUGGGUCUAUACCUCGGGCCAUAAGAGUUGAUCCUUUACCAUCUAUUUUUUGUUCAUCAUUAUUCUUCAACAUCACUUGCCGUCGUACUUUUUCUCUACGCACUUCUGAGAAAACUUCUCUUAUAGUUUGCAAAGGUUUUUUUUUCCAUAGUAUACGUCCUCGAACCUCAUUAAGUUCUUUGUUCAAACCAACCAAGAAAACAAAUACCCGAUCUCUUUCAAUUUUCUUUUUGUACCGAGCACUAUCAUUAGAAUUUUUCCAUUGUUUAUUUUCAAACAAGUCCAAUUCCUACCAAACAGCCAUCAUAUCAUUAUGAUUAGUUGUUACCUCACGAUUACUUUGCUGCAUCUUCCAUAUACAGGUGUUUAAUUCAUACAAUUAUGACUGAUUUUCCAGAUCUGCGUAGGUUUCUCGAACUACUUCUCAGACAUCACAAGUAGUAUUUAAGUACAUGAAGGUUUUUCCGAUAAUAGGAUCCAUUGAGUUGAUCAGCCAGGCAGUAACCAUUGAGUUUUCUAAAUGCCACUGCCUGUAUUUUGGAUCAUUAAUGGCUGGUGGUGUUACCUCGCCAUUCGAGUACCUUAGUUUCCCUUUUCCAUCAAUCACCAAAUGCACGAACUGAGACCAUUCAAAAUAAUUCUUUCUAUUCAAUUUGCGAAUGGUAAUUUGAAGAGAAUUUUCAUAAACAGAAACAGCCGGAAGCGACUAAGAAACUUCCUCCGAUGAAGUCCCACUACUGCUGCCAUCUAAAGAGGUUGAACCAGAGCCAACCAUGGCAGCCUUAAAAUUCAUGAUCAAGCUCGAGGCUCUAAUACCAUGUAGAUUUUACAGAGGGAAAAGGAGGAAAAUUUCUCUUAUUCCAUUCAAUAAAAAAUAGAGAAAACAAACAACUUAAAUAGGGAAAAAAACAAAGGAUUAAUCAUAUACUUAGGAACUAACUUAUCUCAUCCCUAAAUCUUAGGAUUUUAUCCAAAUCUCUAACAAACAGUCAUCCCUAAAUCUUAGGAAACUAACUUAUCUCAUCCCUAAAUCUUAGGAUUUUAUCCAAAUCUCUAACAAACAGAUCCUAAUCAAUUAUUUCUAAUUUAUCAACAAUUACAUUGUACUCAAUUGUUUUGGGGUUUGUAAAUUCAGGUAAUGGACAUACUAGGCCCAAGUUUAUGGGAUGUUUGGAACUCUAACAACCAGAUGUAUAAAACAAUUAUAUUCUCUCUCUAUUUUGUCAUUGUUUUAUUUAUUUCUGUUAAUUAAAAAAUUACCAUGAUUAGUUCCUCAAAAAUUACAUUUUGCCUUUCAGUAUUGUUGUCUUUCUGUUUUGAAUUUUGUUGAUUAUUUAUCAUUAUUUUUCUUCCUCUCAGAGGCUACCUGAAGAGAUGGUGGCUUGUAUAGUAGUGGAGGAAAUAUCUAUUUCGAAACAAUUUCACCUUAGAGGGUACUUUGAAAUUGCUAGGAUCUUCGAUGUUUUCCUUUUUAUUUCCUUUAUUCUUUAAUGUAUUUUUUUCCAGGACUUCUUGGUUUCUAUCGUAGUUUUGUACAUGGAGAUGUUAAGUCAUAAAACUUUUUGCUUGGCCAGCCCGAAACAACUGAUUAGAAGAAAUUUUUUUGGUUUGAUAUUGGUAGAGGUAUGACUUCAUAUGGAGAUACUUCAACAGUUUCAUGUCAUUGAUAAUAAUGAAAUGAGCUAUAAAUAGUCUACCAUUGUCUACUUCAGCUUUAAGAUGGAGAGAUGCAAGUUCUUGGUGUCAUAUCGAUUAUGACCAAAAGCCUGAUGUUUUCAGGUAAUCAUAUUUUCCAUCACCCUUGUACGAGUACAAAAUUCUGCUGCUUUUGAUACACCAUAUGCACAAGUCAUGAAAAUGUUUGAGCUUCGUUGAUUCUACAUAUCUUGUAUAUUUCAUUUUAUACUUUUAUUGAAUGUGAUAAUUUGUCUUUUCAUUAUGGCAUAUCACAUUGCCAUAAUUGUAUUUCAUGCUUUUAUCUUCCGUCAAAUGAAUGCACAAAAAAUACUUUUAUCUUUUGACAGUCAGAUAUAUCUUAUACUUUUGGCAGGGGAACUGUACAUUAUGCAAGUAUACAUGCUCAUUUAGGUAGGACAGGAAGCUGAAGAGAUGACCUUGAAUCAUUGGCAUAUACCUUAAUAUUUCUUGGCAGAGGAAAACUUCCCUGGCAAGGAUUUGUUGUGGGUUUAUCCUACCACAUAUUGUUGAGCAAUUUUGUAGCUUUGAUUGUUUAGAGUUCAUUUGUUGAUAACUUGACGGCUUAAAUGACAAUCAGUGUCGGCCAAUUACUUAAUUAAUUAUUGGAGUAUCCAGAUGGUUUAAAUGACACUGCCCCGCUCGAUGCCAUAGCCAAUUAAAAAGUUGAUUUGCAUUUUUCUACCAUAAAUUAUAUUGGGAUCACCACUUUUAAAAGCAGAAACAUAAAAGCUCAUCUGAAAUAUUCUUAUAAAGAUUGGAGGGGCUCAACUUCACAUUUGCAACUCUGAAAUGAAUUGUAACUUUAUGAAAUUCAAGAUGUGAACUAAUAUUGUAACAAAUAACUAAGAAAGCUUGGUUCAGCUUCUAGCCUGGUUCAGCUUCUACCGCUUCGACAAGUUGUGUUGUAAUCAUAUUGGACAUUAUUGACUUUAAUUUGAGUGAUACUCUAAUGGUAAUAAAGCCCGCAGAAAACCCGUAUCAACAAAAAUGUUUCUAGUAUCAAUAAAAGAUUUUCCACUAACAGUUGAUAAGGAUACAAAUUCUAAUCUUUGAUCACUUCACUUGUACUAAUUGUUUUCUCACCCUUGAUGCAAUCAGUGUGGGUGACCAAAUAUUAGAAUUUGUGCCCUCAUAAAUUGUUAGUGGAAAAUCUUUUAUUGAUACCGAGAACAUUUUUGUUGAUAUGGGUGUUCUGCAGACUUUAUUGCCAUUAGAGUAUCACUCAAAAUUAAAGUCGGUAAUGUCUAAUAUGAUUAGGGCACAACCUGUCGAAGGCGUGGAAACUAAGCCUGGCUUUUCUGAUGUUCUUUGUUACAAUAUUAGUUCACAACCUGAAUUUUGUGAGGUUACAAUUCAUUUCAAAUGUGUAGAUGUGACAUUCAGCCCCUCCAAUCUUUAUAGGAAUAUUUCAGAUGAGGUCAUGUGUUUUGCUUUUAGAAGUGGCGAUCUCAAUAUAGUUUAUGGUAGAAUAAUACAAAUCAACUUCUUAAUAGGCUAUAACAUCGAGCAGGGAAUGGUGUUGUUUAACUACAGUGAUGCAAAUUAUACCUAAUUUUAUUUGAACUACUAAUAUUGUACUUGCACUUGAACUCCAUUGAAUGAAAAUGCAACUUUUAAUUUAUCAUAAAACAUAUUUCGUUCAUAAUUUUAUUUUUCGUUUGUAACUAUGAAAAAUAUUUUAUUCACAAAUGAAACAUAUCUCCUUUAACUAACUUAUGAUUUCAUAAAUGAAAUAUUAAUGUUGUAGAACUUUAGAUUUAUCAUUUAUAAAAUCAUGAUUUUAAUAAUUUUAUUUAUUAAAAAUUUAGAAUCAUGGUAUUAAUAAAACAAUCAAUUUUUUUAAACUGACUUAAAUUAAUUUUUUAAAACCUAAGCUAAUAAAAUAUACUAAAAAGUUUAAUUUCAAGUUAUUUAUAAAAUCAUAAUAUUUUAUAUUUACUUUUCAUUAAAAAUUUUAAUUUUAUAUAUUUUGGACCACUUGCUAUUGAGGGCCUACGAGCUGGGUGCUAGUCCACCGAUGAAGCGAGCCUUUACACUGUACCGUGUUUUACCCUAUUUCUAAUCGUUUCAUACUUUUAAGGUCUGCAUACCUAAAAUUCUAAGCCCGACCUAGCCGGCAUAUGUGUCUUGUUGUGCCACGUGCUCCACAGUGCUAUGCCUAUGUCGUUUCGUGCCCAUGUCGUGCUGUGCCCGUUUCUAGUUGAAGCAAUCAGUGUGGGCUGCAGUAUAUUGUGCUUGAACCUUGAUUGACCAAACAAUAGAAGAAUUUACCAGCAACCGAUGUUCCCAUUUAAGAAGCUAGUGAAGAAUUGUUAGGUCCAAGGCCAACGGUGCCGAUUUGAUUCAAAGCGGGCUUUCACCAUUGUUUUGUCUGUAACGAAAGAUUACUUUUGCCAUUUCUAUGGGUUGUCUGGAAAUAAGAGGUUUAGUAGCAAGAUUGCCACUUGAGAAGGAUCCAUGUGAACCUCUUCCAUAUUCGAAUGAGUAAAUCCAAUCUCUUUUAAAGCAAUUCAUUGCAAUUAUGGUAUUUUGGAAUGAGGAGCAAGAAAUAGAAUUGUAUGUAGAAGAUUUUUUAGGAUCAAAGAAUGGAACCUCUUGCUAGAAACAUUAUGAUUGUGGGCAAGACUCACACUGUGUCCAUAUGAAGUCACUUCCUGUGUCAAUAGAACCAUAUAUAUCAUCAGCAGGAGUGCCGAUUGAUAAAUGCAUCAAAUAAUUACCAUCAAUAAAAAUUAUAUCAGCUUGAGGAAUUGUUGAUGGAGAGAUUGGUGGCUUGAGAGUUUCAUUGGUGGUACUAAAGUGAGGCUUUAAGGAGUUUUCGGCCUCUAUCGGAUUGAUAAUAAAGAGAAAAAGAAAUCACAAUUGAAAACUUUUUCAAUGCCAUGAUAUCAAGAAUUUUUCAAAUAUUUGGAAUAUGAGCAAAUAUAGUUUAGUAUUUAUAGGCAUUUGUGGGUUGCAGCCCCAGCUUAACUCCAUUCACACCAUAAUUUCCAAAUAUUGUUUAGAUUUUGUAUGCUUGAUCUUUAUUUUGAUUUUUUUUUUCCUUUUUAAGGAAGAAGGGGAUAAAGUGUUUUUUAUUGGAAGGAUGAAAAUGAAAAGAGAAAGGAUAGCAACUCAUGGCAUGCCUUAUUGGCAAGAUUCUUCUUAAUAGAGAUGUGAACAUACAACACUUAAGACUUGUAUUGUGGCGAGUAUUGAAAACAAUUAAGACUUGCAAUCCAGAGCCUAAAACCAUACUGUAUCAUAUUAUGAUUUGCCAGUAAUUUUGGGUAUGCAAUAAACUAAAGCUUGUGACCUAACGUAUAGGUGAAUAAUUAAUAACUAGCCCUAGACUUUCCAAAUAAAAGGACGGAACAAAUGAGAUUCAUUUUAUAAAAAAGACUGACAAAGACAUUUUAACACAAACAAGCAUUUGAAAUUGAUAGGGAAAACAAAAAUUAAUAUUGUAACAUCCGCUUCAAAAAUUGGGGCGAUAGCGGCGAGGAAAAAUGACAAAUCAAUGAUGUUUACUGUUUAGGGCUUUUAAAGAAAGAACGAGAUGUAGAUAUAGUAGCGGGCCAAUAGUUGAGCUUUUUAAUUUUAAUGUUAAUUGAUUACUUGGAAACUAAAUUGUUGAGUAGCAAUAACUUUUUCGGUUUCUCUUGGGCCCGACCCAAGCCCAUUAGAGUAAAAGUGCAAGUGUUAGGCUUGGAUUUUUACUUAUUUUUUCAAAAAAUUUUAAAAUUGUUAUAAACUUGAAAUAAGUUAAUAAUAAUCAAGUUGUUAUAAUCAACAAUGAAUUAAAGAAAAUAAAUAUUUUGAAAAUAAAGUAAUAAUAAAGAAAAUAAAGCAAAUAAAAGUUUAGAUAUUUAAUUUUUUUUUAUACUGGAUUAUCUAAUUCACAGACUCUCUUAAUUAAUUAAUCUUUAAAAGAGAAUUUAGUAUUAUAAUUUUAAGUAUUUUAAUUUAUUAUUGACAUAUAAAUUAGGGAUUCAAACCUUUUUUCCAUUAUUUUUCAAAUUUGAAUUUAUAAAUUUUUUAAAUAGAUGGAGAGAAAUUCAUUAACAGAUUUUAUGAGAUUCAAAAAGAGGAAGCAAUGGUGGAGGCAGCGGCCAGCUGUCGUCACUUAUCGAAAGAAGUUCCCUUGGUCUCUUUCUUCCUCCUUUGCUUCAGGUAUUCUUUUUCUUUUUUCUUUUGUUUUUUUUGUUUUUAGUGCUUCACCUGUUUUCUUGUUCAUUUCCAAUUCUACAAUUUUUAUUUCUCCUUUUUUUUUUUUUUGUAAGAUUAAUUUUGGAGUUUUCAGGUUGAUUUGGCUUCAACAAUUCAUAUCGCGGACAAAGUGUGUAAGUUGGUAAUUUUGCCGCCAAAAAUAAGUGUAAAUUAAGAGAUUUUGAGGAGUAACUAGGGGGUGAGUGGCCGUGUGUAAACCAGCUGGCUUAUUAAAUAACUCAGAAGUAGGACAAGGUUAGUUGUGUUGCACAGAAGGUGUGUUCUUUGUGACAGAUAUACAAUUAACAAAGCCGAGAUGCUCCCCUUUUGUAUUUUCUUCAAGAUUUUGUACGGUCAGUUUAAAUCAAAACUGAAACAAGUGUGUUUAAGUUUGAAGUAAACAAAACAAAAGGACGGAAACGUCCCUCAUUCCACAAGAAAUACAAGGGCUAGGACCCUAUUAUAUAAUGGACUUGGGUAAUUUUUAAAAACCUCCCCUGAGAUUUGGGCUUGUUACAAGUAGAUGGCGAGAAUCUGUUUAUUUGUAAAAAACCUCCUACCGUCAGUUAAUUUUAACAUUGACCGUUAGUUGACUGUGCAAAGACAAUAUUGCCCUUAACCAUAGUUUGUAGACUAACAUAACUAAAAAAAAAACUAAAAUUGUUAGCGCGAAAAGCACAAACCCUAUUUUUUGACAAUUUUAUCUUUGUUAAUUCCAAAGAUUUACAAUAUCAUAGGUAACGAUUAUGACUAUUUCAUUUUUAAGUUUUUAAUUUUAUCUUUCUUGUAGGAACUUUAAGGAAAUAUCAAUAAUUUAAAGAGGAUUUUUCAAGUUUUUAAUUUUAUUUUUUUGUAGGAACUUUAAGAAAAUAUCAAUAAUUUAAAGAUGGUAAAAUAGCCAAUAAUAUUGGUUUUUUUUUAUAGCUAUUUCCGUCUACAAACUAUUGUUAAGGGUAAUAUUGUCUUUGCACAGUCAACUAACGAUCAAUGUUAAAAUUAAAUGACGGUAGAGGGUUUUUUACAAAUAAACCAAUUCUCACCAUCUACUUACAACAAGCCCAAAUCUCAGGGGAGGUUUUUAAAAAUUACCCUAAUGGACUUAUCACUUCGUUCCAUUAAGAAAGUGAAUAAAAUUCCUCUUUUAUCUUAAUCUCUUGAAUUUCUGAACACUAAUUAUAUCAUUAUCGAAUCCUUGAAAAAACUUGCGAGUAUUUAUAAUCAGCUUAUCUCUGAAUUAAAUCUAAAUACAUAUAUGUGAGCUCUAGUUAAAUCUUGAAACAUGUAAGUAAGCCACAUCUAAAAAAAGAGGGUUCCAACAUUUAGUGCACGGCUGGGUUCUCAUUCUCAAUGCCAAUGAAUCUCAGGGAAAGGUUAAAUUCCCACAACAAAGGUGGCAUUAAGGUAGGCGUAGGUCCUUUAUUGGCUGGACUCUAUAAAUGUGUAGAGAUGGGUAACCUUUCCACUUAUAUCGUAUGAAUAAUGAAUUGCCAGGUUGGUUUUUUAUCAAUUAACAUUCUCGUCAUGUGCCAAGAUAAUCACUAGCUUAUGACAUACAGCUAAUUUAGAUGGUUCAAAGUAGAAUAAUGGGAAUAAGGUUUAUAAAGUAAACUUUUACUUUUAAAAUUUGUGUGAUGGGUGAGAAAUUAAGUAUAGAGAAAAAAAAUUAUGUAUUUAAAUAAUCCUAUCUUUUGAUAAAAUUUGCGUGAAAUCAAUCUUGCUGUAGUAGCAGGUUAGUCCAGUGGUGCUAGAAGAACAAAAUACCAUUUGAUUUUUAAUAUUAAAUUUAGAAAUAUUGAUAUUUAAUCUCCUUAACUUAUCUCUUUAAUCCAUUUUUUAAAAUUAUUUUAACUUGAAAUAUCUAAAAUACACAUUAAAAUAAUUUAAAUUUCUAAAUUUUACCAUUUCAGCCUCCAAAGUUUCUAAUAUAUAUAUAUAUAUAUAUAUAGCUUUCUCAAAGGUUUGCCACCUAGUGUCUAUAAUGGCAAUAAAGCAUGUGAUAUCUUUUCCAACUAGGAACAAUGGUUGUAUCCCUAUCUGGAUGGCUCCAAGGUGCAAUCCCUUGUGGUGGCAAACCUUUGAGAAAGUCUUGAUUAUUGUCGUCGAAGCAGGACUCAACCAAGGUCAUGUUGUUCUCCAAGUUGAACCAAAUUUCACCCUUGACAUACACAAGCCAUCCCUCACAGAUGCCAUUAAGGUAUUAAUUCAGGUUAAUGGUUUAACCAUGAAACCUGACGAAUCUGCCUUGGCAAUCCACCACACCAUGACCUAUAAAGUCCAAACCCAUCUGUUCUUUAUGAGCAGUUUUGGCAAACCUAUUACCAGGUUUCUUGCUGGUGAUGGCAGAGUCUUCCAACCUAGGACUUAUAGGCAAAAUUAACUCAUUUUUCCACCACAAUGGAUCAAUGAGUAUGAGAAAAACAACAGGCCUCAACAGAUCCAUGAGGUCCCAAAAAUAAGCCGAUUCCAAGAAGGAAGGGUAUCUGUCUCUUUUCCCACUGAGACUAAAGCCCUCUAUCCAUGUGAGAAGUGCCAGCUUGAAGGAAAGCAUCCCUCCUUGUGCACACAUAUGCCAAGGAGAACCACUUCCUACAGAAUCAUGAGUCUAGUCAACAUGAUCACCACUCCAGACCUUGAUAAUGAAUUCAUCUAUAUAUAUAUCUAUAUAUAUAUAUGUUUUGCGGUUUAUAUUAAUCUCAUUUAUUUAAUUUGGUGAGUCAAUACUUUUAAAUAUCGUACGGACAAGGGUUGGGCAUUUGAUUUGGUUUAACAGGCAAAAACCGAACGGUUUCAAUUUCCUUGCACCCAACGGUUUAUGUUCGGUUCUUUUCUAAAACCGAACCGAACGCAUGAACCGUUCGGUUCAGGAACCUUUAAUUUAAAAAAAAAAGGCUAAAUGCACGCAGACCGGCGGAUGCAGCAGCCGCCAGCCCCUCGCUCUCUCACUCUCUCCGUGGCGUCUCCGGUCGGCAUCUCACUCUCAUGCUCUCCGUCAGCCCGUCACUCACGCAAUCGUGAUUCAGUUUCUGAUUAGCUCGCGGCAGGUGGCAGACGGCAGAUCGUGGUCGUGAUUCAGCCAUCUCGUUGCCAGCUGGCAGCUGUUACCUUCGCAACCUCAUUCAGCCAUUGACAUCGUGCCGGCCGCCGGAGACGGUGAGUUGUUGACUUCGUUCUUUAUUUUUAUUUAUUUUUCGUUAAUUUUUGUCCUUAAUUCAAUUAAUCAAAUUAAUUACUCGGUUGAGUUGUGGUUCGUAGUCUAAUUUAAUACUCGGCAUCAGAUAUUUUAAUUUUUUUUUCCUUCCAUUCGGCAUUCAUACAGUUUUUUAUAAUUUGAUUUCGGUCAUGAUGCUGUUGCUAAUGAAAUUGGAUGUGGAUAAUUGGUGCACUGAAAUGAAUAUGAGAUUGUAACGAGGAAUAUACUGGAAUGUAUAUUAUGAGAUUGUAAUGAGGUUGAUGCAUUUUUUCACUCUAUUAAUAUAAAGAAUAAUAUAGAAGUUUGAUUUUAGACUAAAUUAAUUAUCAAUGAAAUGAAAUGAAAUUAACAAAACUUAUGGUGGUAAAAUGAAUUUUGGGUUUGUCAAAUGUCGGAAUCUUGUUCGCAAAUAAAUAUGAGAUUGUAACGAGAAAUGUACUGGAAUAGAUGAUCAUAAUUGAUUUGAUUUUUGUCAUAAUGUUUGUCAAACCGAACCAAAAUCUAGAAUGAUUUUUGUAAUUUUCUUAAUUUUAGACAUUAUUUGGGCUUGAAUUAAAAUUAUUGAAAAAGAAAACUCACGUGGCUGUGUUUGUGCAUCUGUUACUACAAUAAUGUAUUUUUUCUAAAUAUUUUAAUUUCUUUUCUAGAAUUUAUUUGCGCUUUUCAAUCUUAUCAAGUUUAGAGUUAAUAACUGAAAGUCAGCUGAUAUAAAUUUAUUGUUUAUAAAAAAUAUGAAAGUUUGAUGUUAAGAGACAAUACAAUGAAGAAAAUUAUUUCAGUAGUAAAUAAUUAAUUCUUUUAGAAGAAAAAUAAAAACAAAUUUAUAAGAUGUUUAUAAAAAAUAUGGAUUUUAAUCUUGUUAAGUUAUUGUAACUAUAUCUUGCCGAUUGAUUUAUCAUAAUGAACCUAAACGUGUACUUUCUUAUUUAUACUCUUCUUAUAUUUUUGUUGUGCUGGUUUCAAAUUUGCAGCAACUAAGAUACCAAAACUUUGAACAGUCUUUAGUGAAGCAUCAAUUUGGAAUACAUUGACAGCGUGAUCAUAAAAUGUCUUCUCUUAGGAAUGCAAUUCCUAGAAGGGCUCAUAAGGAGAGAGCUCAACCGUAAGUGACUACUUUUUCUUUUUAAAGUUCUUUCCUUUUGGGAAGUUAUUUGGAAACCCUUUUGAGAUGAAAUAUCUUUGAUCCAUGAUAGGCAAUCGAGGAAGAAGUUUGGGCUUCUUGAAAAGCACAAGGACUAUGUUGUUCGUGCAAAAGCAUAUCACAAGAAGGAGG